CGAAGCUCUAGUUUUAAAGCCUACUUCGUCAGAAGAAAAAGCUUCGGAAGAAAAAGUUCUUUAGUUCCCAAGAAAUUCAGAAUUAAAUGGCCAGAGUGCGCUCUACCGCUAGAGUUGAGCGUGAGGGAGGCGAAGCCGAAGGAGCGGAGACUGUUCCUAUCUCCGAAGCAAUGCAACGAUCCGGACUGGUGACCUCGGAAGGAAUCCGUACUACCGAGACAGAGCAGACUGCUGCCGAGACAGAAGAAGUUGUUGCCGAAGCGGAAGAAGGAAAUAUUGAGGAAGCUAAUUCUGAUGAUGAUUACCAUAUUGCCGUGCCAAGCAAGCCCAGCCACUUGGACUUCGGGAAGUCGACUGUCUCCAAGGCUGAUUUCUCCAUGAUGGUGAAGUUGGGUUAUUUCAGUGAGAAUGAGAAGAAGCUACUUCGCUUCGGGGGGAAGAAACUACCCUGAAGCCAGAAAAAGAUGAAAUAGUUAUUUUUAAGAGCUUUCUAAAAGCUGGAUUAAGAUUCCCCUUAAAUAGGAUGAUAUCUGAUGUGCUGCAAAGAUUUGGUAUCUACUUUCACCAACUAACUCCCAACGCAAUUGUCAGGCUCAGCGUCUAUAUCUGGGCUCUCCGAAGCCAGGCAGUGGAGCCAUUUGCUGACAGCUUCUGUCGAGUUCAUGAGUUGCAUUACUAGACUAAGGCCAGAAAAGAUGGAUUGCAUGAAAAUUUUGGCUGCUAUAAUUUUGCUUAUCGGAAAACCACGAAGUUUCCCGUGAUCAGCUACCGAAGCAAAUGGCCGGCAGGCUGGAAAUCAGAAUGGUUUUAUGUCAAAGUUGAUGAAGAUAAAGAGAAGCUGGUUCAGAGCCCUCUUGAAUUAAUCUUCGGAGAAACAAGACCCCGAUGCAAAAUGGCAGUAGAAGGUCCAACUUGGGCUGCACUGGGCGAAUUCAAAAUUAUAGCAGAACAUAUUGGCACUAGAGAUUUAGUGCAAGAAUUCCUGGCCUUCAGAGUUUUUCCAACGAUGAAAGAGUGGACAAUGCCGAAGCUUAAAGGGGAAAAGAAAGAGGGGGAACUCGUCAGGCUACCUUAUCAUUAUAAAUUCAAGAAAUAUUUUAAAGUACCCUGCCAAGAAUGGCUUGAUACAAUUGAAAUAAUGAGCAAUGAAAUUCUUGGGAACUACUCUAAAAAAGAGGACCAACUGAUGACAGCGGCCUUCGGCACUCGGCCGAAACGAAGGCUGAAUAGAGUGCUUGAUGCCAUAGGAUUUGAAUACGCUGACUACGGUCGACUGGGCGGAGAUGCCGGAGGCCCGAAGCGAAAAAGAAUUGCCAGCGCUAAUGACAAAGAGGUCGUCAAGUUAGCCAAAAAGAAAAAGAAAGAUUCUGAAAAUCUUAGCGCUGAAGAGUUAAAUCCUGAGCCGAAGGUGGCCACUUCAAGAAAGAGAACAGGUGCAUCCCGGGAGCCGGAAACGUCGGUCCGAGAAGAAGAUAUUCCUGCUUCUCCUUCUGCUGUUGAAGUAGAAGAAAUUAUGAAGGUAAUGACUGAACCCUUGCCUAUCAGGCUAAGUCCACUGGCACUGGAACUGACGAAGUUUUUUCAGAAGGACAAGGCAGCUUCGGCAGCAGAAAGUCCUACGAAGCCGAAAAAAAGGAGAAUUAUUCAAGUAACAGAUGUGAUCCACCAGACGCCGCCACCGGCAACGGUGCCGAAAAUUCCCUUUGCUGAAACUGCCGAAGCCGAAGCUACUGGGGUGAAAACUACUGAAGCUGAAACCAGCGAAACCGAAGCUACCGGGGCCAAAGCCGGGGCCACCGAAGAGUCGAACCUGGAAACUACACUUGAGGUUAUUGACAAUAUUCUCCUGAAAAUGGCCGAAGAAGAAGCUACUGUGGCUGUAGUGAAUACGGCAACUGAAAAGGGGAAAGAGCAAAUUGGUGAAAUUUCUGAAGGAGAAGAUUUUAACUUUCAAGACCUACUUGGGCAAGAGUUGACAGACACUGAGAAAGAGGAGUUGAAAAAAUAUGCCAUAUCUUGCGGAUAUAAAUCAGGUGCUAUGCUAUUUGGUGGGGUGAACGAAGGGAAACUAAGGUGCCUUCGGAACCGCACCGAGGCCAAAAUUGUCAGAACCCUUUCCAAAAGCAUUGGCUUGCCGAAGGUGGAAGCGGACUUGUGUCGUUAUCAACGACACCAUAUCGCCGGAAGCUUGCUUUAUGCUAACUUCAAGGUAAUGAAUAUUUUUGUUAUUUUAUUACUGUUAUUAUUAACUUUUGGGUCGUGCUCUAAUGAAGAUCAUUUCGACAGAGCAUAUUAUUAAGCAAGGUUCUGAAAAUGCAACAAGAUCUGGAGGAAGAGAAAAAUAAAGCCGUCAUUCAAGAUUUGGCUGAAAAGGUUGAAAACUACGAAGCCAAUCUGAAAAAGAAAGACUUCGCAAUCCAAGAUCUUGAAAUCAUCGUCAAAGAGCACGAAUGUGCAUUGGAAAAGAAGGAUUUUGUUAUUCAGACCAUGGAGGGCUCUUUGGCUGAAGUCCAAACUGAAAAUGACAAAUUAAAGAAUGAAUUGCUUCGUCAAUCAGAAAAAUUCGAGCAAGAAAAGAAAUAUUUUGAAACAAGCCUGAAAGCUGAAGUUGAUAAAUACUCAAAUUUGCAGAAAUCCUUUACAGAACUUCAGGAGAAAUGCUUAAGCUUCGGCAUCCGAUGUGUGCAGCGGCUGAAGGACGUGUUUCACUCUGUCGGAGCUAGCUCUUCGAAAUUUACACCUUCAGCUGAAAAUCUGCCAAGAACAUUAGAACAUAUUGAAGGCGAAGUUGAUGCCCUUGACGAAGUUAUUGGUGGGCACGCUGACUUCUGUGCCCUGGUAUCUUCUCGGGGCACAGCUGCUGCUUUUUUGAAGGCUGGUUGCACACAAGGAAACAUCGUGAACAGACCAAACUUCAGCUUGUCAGCUUCAGAUUUGUUAGAUAUCCCAAGCUUAGCCAGAAGCAUUGGAAAUAGAUUCAUGACCCAGAUCUGGGUAAGUGGCGGGCGGAAAAUGGCAGGCGACGAAGCUCAAAGCCAUCUGAAGCUGGUAAGAAACUUAUGUUUGUUACUUUUACCUUCUCCUUUGAAAUUUGUACCUUUCUUACUGUGUUGUUUGAUAUAUACAGGAUGACGAAGCUGAAGAUUGACAAUGCUGAAGUUUGACAAAACUGAAGACGAAGCCUUAGCUGAAGCUUAAAAUUGCUUGUAAUGCGCUUUCCUGCAAAAAUUCUUGGAGAAACUCUUGUAAUAUAGAUAUGGAAUAACUUAUGUAAAUUUGUACAUACCUUGUAAUAUAUUCUGUCUCCUAUAACCGCAUCCAGUCUGCUUUGCUGUGGACGAAACUUCUCUUUUGAGCCGAAGGCGAAAAACACCUUCCCUUCUUUUCGUACACAACGAAGCAUAGAAAAUUUUUCCUUCGAAUCCUUUCCUUAUUUUCUGAAGCACCUGUCUUUUUUUGUGUAGCAUGAUGAUGACUCUACAUAUGUCUAAAUGGAUGUUUAUGAAUGCAAAUGACAUGAUGAUAUGUUAUGUGCAAAUGAAUAUUAGGACACAUGUUUAAAAAACCAUAAGCACGGCCCUUCGUCCCCUCAAGAAUGAUAAAAAUCUUUUUGCCGUUUACUUUUCGGCUUCACCGUUUACUUUUCGGUGUAUCAGCGUUGACUUUUCGCUGUAAGCCUCCCUUAGGAGCUUCUUCGCCUUUUACUUUCAGCGGAAUCAGCGUUAUUUUUCGCUGUAAGCCUCCCUUAGGAGCUUCUUCGCCUUUUACUUUCAGCGGAAUCAGCGUUUAUUUUUCGCUGUAAGCUCUGCAUUCCCUUAGGAACGACCUUUGAGCUUCUCCCUGUUUUCUUUUCUUUUUUCUUUGCACUCGAAGGUGCGUUCUCAGCUUUUACAUUUACAUUUUGGGGGAUAUCGCUCUUAUAGAAUUGAAAUAAGGAAAAGAAAAAUUACAUGUUGUGGCCCCAUUAAAAACCUUUCUCCCCCUUUGGAAAGGAAAAGGGUGCCACAAAAAAGAAUAUAAAAAAUUACAUCAAACUAAACAUAAUAUCGCUGAAGCUCAUCCGCAUUCCACGAUCUAGGAAUGUCAUUGCCGUCCAUAUCCUUCAAUCUGUAGGAACCAGGUCUUGACGAAGAUACUACCAAAAAGGGGCCUUCCCACUUCAGCUGUAAUUUGCCUACUGUUUCAGGGUUAGCUACUCUUCGAAGUACCAAGUGUCCUGGUUCAAUAUUCUUUAGCUUGACCUUUCUAUCACGCCAUUUUAUUGUUUCAGCUUGGUAUUUAUUGAUGUUUUCCACAGCUUGAAGUCUAAUCCCUUCAAUAGCAUCUUUUUCCAAAGAGCAAUCAGCUUCGUUUUCGCCCUCUGCCGAAGCUACUGUCCUUAUCGAUCCUGUUUUAGCCUCUUCUGGGGUUAUUGCUUCGUCACCAAACAAUAGUUUAAAGAGUGUAAAGCCUGUUGAUCUUGAGAUGGUUGUGUUAUGACUCCACACCACUUUGAUUACUCGUCUGGCCACUUUCCCCUUGGCUGAUUGAAGAUUGACUUCAUUAUUCCUGUCAUUAUGAUCCCAUUGGCUCUUUCAACAAGUCCAUUAGAUUCUGGGUGUCGGACUGAUGCAAAAUGGAUCUUCGUGCCAAUUUGAUUGCAAAAUUCUCUGAAGGCUUCAGAAUCAAAUUGUGUCCCGUUAUCCACAGUUAUAGCCUUCGGCACUCCGAAACGACAAACAAUGUUUUGCCAGAAAAACUUUUGAAUAGUAAACGAGGUUAUUGUGGCUAAGGGCUUUGCCUCAAUCCAUUUGGAAAAAUAUUCCACUGCCACCACCACAUAUCUUAAGUUCCCCUGUGCAGGUGGUAAUGGACCUAGCAAAUCCAGACCCCACCUUUGCAAUGGCCAAGUGGGCUGUAUUAAUUGAGUUAAAGACGAAGGUUGUUUUUGAUCUCUUGCACAUUUCUGACAACCUUCGCACUAUUGAACUAAAUCCGCUGCGUCCGAAGCUGCCUUUGGCCAAUAAAAUCCUUGGCGAAAAACUUUUCCAAGCAAGGGCCUAGAUCCAAUGUGAGAUCCACACAGACCUGCAUGUAUGUCCUUCAUUAAUUCUAUACCUUCGGAUCUGGAUAAGCACUUGAGCAAUGGGGAACAAACCCCGCGCUUGUAUAACUCCCCUUCUAUUAUGACAUAUGGUCGAGCUCUUGCUUCUAUUCUCUUGUUAUAAGCUUCGUCGUCUGAAAGAAAAUUACCCUGAAGGAAAGAGAUGAUUUCAGUUCUCCAAUCUUCACUAUAAACAGGGGAUAUGUUGAGGAUUGCUCUUUCAAGAAGCUCGACCGAAGGUGCUUUUAUUGUUUCAAAAAAUACUUCCAAAGGUAUAGGCAGCCCCUGGGCUGCUGACUUAGCCAAUAGAUCAGCAUAUUCAUUUUCUCCACGAGGAAUAUUUUUGACAGAGAAACCUUCGAAGGAAGCCUCAAUCCUUCGGACUGUAUCUAGAUACCUUUCAAGCUUCGGGUCUCUUGCUUUGUAACUUUUGUCAAUAUGACCAGAAAUAACUUGAGAAUCAGUUUUAAGAAUGGCCCUUCUGAUUCCCAUUGCCUUUAAUUUCCGAAGACCCAAAAGCAGAGCUUCAUACUCGGCGAUGUUAUUUGUGCAACUAAAAUCAAGUCUUGCCGCAUAACAAGUUUUAACUUUGGAAGGUGAAACCAACACAGCAGCCGCUCCUGCUCCGAAGGUUCCCCAAGACCCAUCGCAAAACACUGUCCAUGCUUCGGCGUCUUUAUUUGUUUCUUCCUCCUGAGCCCCUGGCGUCCAAUCAGCAAUGAAGUCUGCUAAUGCCUGGGACUGAAUCGAAGAUCUAUGAACAUAAUCAAUACAAAAUUCAUUGAGCUCUGCAGCCCAUUUUCCAAUCCUUCCAGUAGCUUCUCGGUUCCUCAUAAUAUCCUUCAGAGGUUGUGAAGAAGGAACAAUUAUGUUGUAAGAUUGAAAAUAGUGCCGAAGCUUUCUGGAGGCCAUCAAGACAGCAUACAGUACCUUCUCCAACUCUAUAUAAUUUUUCUUUGAUAAACUAAGAACCUCGGAUACAAAAUAUAUUGGGGCCUGCUUCUUAACCUGGCCUUCAAGCUUCUCCUGAACAAGUGCUGCACUUACCGCUGAGUGCGAAGCUGCCACAUAUAAUAACAAAGGAGCCCCUGGCGUAGGUGGAGUUAAUGUUGUUAGAUCUAUCAAAUACUGCUUCAGUUCUUCGAAGGCCUUCUGCUGGAGUGGUCCCCAUUGAAAGACUUCAGCUGUCUUCAGCACUUCGAAGAAUGGUAAGUUUCUCUCUGCUGAUCUAGAUAUGAAUCUGUUGAGAGAUGCUAGCCUUCCUGUCAAUCUUUGAGCCCCCUUUUCUGUACUUGGUGGCUCCAUUCGAAGUAUAGCUUCGAUUUUACUUGGGUUGGCCUCAAUUCACUUUGUUGAAACUAAGCAACCGAGAAAUUUCCCCUUCUUUACUCCGAAGACACAUUUUUCUGGAUUCAGCUUUAGACCAGCCUGUCUAAAAUUAGCGAAGGUCUCCGGUAAAUCAGCAAUGUGGUUAUCCUGCUUCGUGCUUUUUACAAUGAUAUCAUCAACAUAAGUUAGUACUGAUGAGGACAUCAACACCAACACGAGCACAUCUACACCAGCAGCACCUUCUCCAGCCCAGGCACCAUCUUCCCCAGUCCAGGCGCCACCCCUUCCACCUGGGCCAGUGACUCGGGCCCGUGCAAGAGAAUUGAACUACAUCAUGUUGUUAAAGAACGAAGGCCCGGAAGAAUAGACGACCAGCCCAAUUGCGGCCCAUAAUGGACGACCUAGGGUUGGCCGCCCCUAGGGGCCGCGCCCCCUCUCUAUUUAUACAGGAGCUGCGCCUCCUUUAUUUUCCGAGUUUUGUUUUACGUUAGCCUUAGCUACUUUCGAACACGCGCAAAUCUGCGCUGUCCUCGUGUAUUCAGAACUCCACCCUCGAGUAAUAGAUUAGAUUGCUCGCAUCUUGUUCUUGUUCGUUCUUCGAUUGCGCACAGGAAACGAUCUUCGUGAUCAGGCCGAUCUCGCAUCAGCAAGGUCGGUAACCACAGGGAGUUGGUUCAGCGAUUGCAUUGGCGCCUCGGGCUUGCUCGUCGUAGUCGGAUCGCAAGGGUCAUCUUCCGCCAAAUCGGAAUUAUCUCUACUCGCCGAAAGAUCGGGCACCUCAGCUACAUCAAUUGGUAUCAGAUUUCCAGGUUGAUCGGUGAGUUUAUCGAGCGUUUUUUUUCCUACAGUCCACAAAACCACAUAAAAAUUCAGGUUAGAUCUUAUCCCAGCACCCUUUUGAGCCUCGCACUUUCUUUCAAUAAUCUGCAUUGUUGAAUUUGUGUGCUUUCGCGUUUCCUUGUUGCUGGUUGCAUUGUGUUCUUCCACCAUUCAAAUCCUAGCGCCGCCACCAUCUCCCCUUUGAUCACGCCACAAACCGAGUCAACAUUGUUUCCUUGUUUUUCUCCUUCGGUUACGUAAAAAAAAACAGAAAAAACAAACCGAGUCAACGGCCGUUUCCUUGUUUUUCUCCUUCGGUUACGAAAAAAAACAGAAAAAAAAACCGAGUCAACAUCGUUUCCUUGUUUUUCUCCUUCGGUUACGUCAAAAAAAAAACAGAAACAAAAACACAACGAAGGAGAAAGGAUACGGUUGUUUCAUCCCGGUCGUUUGAAAACAUAACUUGAGGUACCUUCCUUAAACCGGGCAUAACUUUUCGCUCGGGUGUCCGAAAAAUCUGAAAUUUUUACAGGAGCUAGUUGACACCAUUCUGAGGCCGGCCAAACUCACCUUCGGUCUGUUUGGGUUCGACAAAAUUGUCAAAAAAAUUCAGGAAAAUAAAGAAAAAAAUCCGUCAAAGUUCUCGCACGCUUUUAAGAGAACUUUCUGAUUUUCUGUAGACCACAUUUGAACUCUGUUUUAGGUGAAACUUCGUCUAGCUCCUAUUUUGUUGCUUCUUGUGCUGAGAAAAAUAUCAAAAAAAUCAUACAAAAAAAAGAAAAACAAAAUCACUUGUGAUUCCUACUAGUGGCCUCGCUAGUACAAUAUUUACGGUACUGCCAUUCUGCUAGUUCCAUCCGUCCUUUGCACUUGUGGCCAGCAAUAUAGUUUCGUGUUUUGCACUAUAAUUCAACUUUGCAUUAUUGUUUGGUCGUGCUAAUCCUUGACUUGAGUGCAGCCUACCCAGAACUCCACAUAUUUCUACGACGAGUAGGUUUCUGUUUCUCCAGGCAAUCGCUCAUCCAAUCUUUCACCGGUUCCACCUGUUGGUUGCAGUUCACCACUGUGGCUUGGUAAGAACGGAUAAGAAUUUGAUAACAGCACUAGUGUGAGCGCCUUGUGAGCAGUACAGCCCUGUUUUUGUCGUUUUUUUUGGUGUUUUGGUGUUUGCGCUAACUAUGGCAGGAGCACAUGACACGGUGGAUGCCCAGUUGCUGGAAGUAAAGGGACAAGUUGAUGGACUUGCUGAUGACAUUAGGACGAUGCAUGAACGGCUUGAUUCAACGGUCACUUCGACGACCGAGCGUUUCAACCAGCUUGACCUUGCUCAAACGGCGACUCGCACCACACUCGACACCAUCCUGGCACGCCUUGAUGCGUUGACCACAAAGAUGGAGCAGGACUACGGCGGUGACACUGAGUGGGACGAUGGAGAUCGUCGUGGUCGUGCACGCCGUGUGGUUCGUCAUCCCCCUAAUGACUUAUUUUCUAAGAUUAAAUUUAAAAUUCCACCUUUUAAUGGCAAAUAUGAUCCUGCUGCAUAUCUUGAUUGGGAGUUAGAGGUUGAACAAAAAUUUUCAUGCCAUGAUAUUGCUGCACAUUCUCAGGUUAAAGCUGCUAUUAGUGAAUUUACUGAUUUUGCUUUAAUUUGGUGGCGUGAGUUUAAAAUAAAACAUCCCACUACCAUUCCAACCACUUGGGAUCAGUUGAAAGCUGCGAUGCGACAUCGAUUUGUGCCUUCGUAUUAUGCUCGUGAUUUGCUUAAUAAAAUGCAGCGUUUUCAGCAAGGUUCUCAAUCUGUUGAGGACUAUUUCCAGGAGUUACAAAAAGGUAUGAUUCGUUGUGGGAUAUUGGAGGACAACGACGCUGCUAUGGCACGUUUUCGUGGUGGUUUAAACCGCGAAAUCCAAGAUAUACUUGAUUAUAAGGAAUAUUAUGAUAUGACUACUUUAUUUGAAUAUGCUUGCAAAGCUGAACGUGAAGUGCAGGGACGCCGCUCGAAGCCAUAUUCUAACCCUUUUGCAGGACGAAGCUCGACUUCCACCUCAGCACCAGUUCCCCCUGCGCCAUCCACGUCCACCACUACUCCACGCGAGAAGACGACCAAACCAGCCAGCACUGCCCCACCCACAGGUCGUACAUGGGAUAUUCAGUGUCAUCGCUGUAGAGGGUUUGGCCAUGUGAUUCGGGACUGCCCAAACAAGCGCACUUUACUCAUUCGUGACGAUGGUGAGUACUCUUCCGCUAGUGAUUCUGAAGAAAUUGAACAUGCACUACUUGCCACUGACCAUGCAGCUAAGGCGGAGGUACAUGUCAACCCGGGCGACGCUGAUAGGUAUGAAAGUCUUGUUGUGCAGCGUGUUCUCAGUACACAGGUCGCUUUGCCCGAGAAGAAUCAGCGACACACUCUGUUCCAUACAAAGGGUGUUGUGCAGGAGCGGUCAAUUCGCAUCAUUAUCGACAGCGGCAGUUGCAACAAUUUGGCGAGUACCAUGCUGGUCGAAAAGUUGUCGUUACCCACUCGUAAGCAUCCAAACCCAUAUCACAUUCAAUGGCUUAAUGAUGGUGGUAAAAUAAAAAUCACGCGUUCCGUGCGAGUUCCUUUCUCCAUGGGUGCUUAUUCUGAUUUUGUUGAUUGUGAUGUUAUUCCCAUGGAAGCAUGCUCUUUGUUACUUGGUCGACCUUGGCAAUAUGAUACUGAUAGCUUGCAUCAUGGUCGUUCGAAUCAUUAUUCUUUCAUUUUUAAGGGUCAGAAAAUAAUUAUACAUCCAAUGACACCUGAACAAAUUGUUAAAGAUGAUCUUGCCCGAGCUGCUAUAACUGCUAAACAACUUGAUCCAUCGCCCUCUGUUCCUUCUGAAAUUAAGUUGAAGGCUCCUGUUUUACUUGCUACACGUGCUGAUUUUGAUGAUCUACACGGUGCUCAUUUGCCAUGCUAUGCACUUGUAUGCUCUAGUGUCCUCAUUUCACUUGAUGAUGCACCAUCUUUGGCUAUUCCCCCUAUGGUUGCUAACCUUUUGCAGGAGUACGCUGAUGUCUUUCCCAAAGACUUACCACCGGGUCUCCCACCGCUUCGUGGCAUUGAACACCAGAUCGACCUCAUUCCCGGUGCACAGCUUCCGAACCGCGCACCAUACCGUACAAAUCCGGAUGAGACGAAGGAGAUUCAGCGCCAGGUACAGGCGUUGCUUGACAAAGGAUACAUUCGUGAGUCUCUUAGCCCUUGCUCUGUUCCUGUGUUACUUGUUCCCAAGAAGGAUGGGUCAUGGCGUAUGUGUGUAGACUGUCGUGCUAUUAAUAACAUCACUAUUCGUUAUCGCUAUCCUAUACCACGCCUUGAUGAUAUGCUAGAUGAGCUUAGUGGUGCCAUUAUUUUCACUAAGAUUGAUUUGCGUAGUGGUUACCACCAGAUUAGAAUGAAACUAGGUGAUGAAUGGAAAACAGCCUUCAAAACGAAAUUUGGUUUAUAUGAAUGGUUGGUUAUGCCGUUUGGAUUGACUAAUGCUCCCAGCACUUUUAUGCGAGUGAUGAAUGAAGUUCUGAGGCCCUUCAUAGGAUUGUUUGUGGUUGUUUAUUUCGAUGAUAUCCUUAUUUACAGCAAAUCUAAGAAAGAGCAUUUGGAACAUUUAAGUGCUGUUUUUGAUGCAUUGCGUGCCGCCCAGUUAUUCGCUAACAUGGAAAAAUGCAUCUUUUGCACACGACGUGUCUCGUUUCUUGGUUAUGUUGUUACUCCACAGGGCAUUGAGGUGGAUAGCAGCAAGAUUGCUGCCAUUCGGGAGUGGCCUACACCGACGACGGUCACACAAAUUCGGAGCUUUCUUGGACUUGCCGGUUUUUACCGCAGAUUUGUUCGUGAUUUUAGCUCCAUUGCAGCGCCUCUACAUGAGCUUACAAAGAAAGAUGUACCGUUUGCUUGGAGUGAUUCGCAGGAGGAAGCGUUCAGCACUUUGAAAGAUAAGUUAACCCAAGCUCCCCUAUUGCAAUUGCCUGAUUUUAAUAAAGUAUUUGAGCUUGAAUGCGAUGCUAGCGGUAUUGGGCUAGGUGCUGUUUUAUUACAAGAAGGAAAACCAGUUGCUUAUUUUAGUGAAAAAAUAAGCGGUGCUAGUCUGAAAUAUUCUACUUAUAAUAAGGAGCUUUACGCGUUAGUGCGUACUUUACAUACAUGGCAGCACUAUCUUUGGCAUCGUGAGUUCAUAAUUCAUUCUGAUCAUGAGGCUUUAAAACAUAUUCGUACCCAAACAAAUCUGAACCGUCGUCAUGCUAAAUGGGUAGAAUUCAUUGAGUCUUUUCCUUACAUUAUUAAACACAAGAACGGGAAGGACAAUGUUAUUGCUGAUGCUUUGUCUCGUCGCUAUACCAUGCUGUCACAGUUAGAUUUUAAAAUCUUUGGUUUGCACACUGUAAAAGAUCAAUAUGUUGACGAUGCUGAUUUUAAAGAUGCUUUCGGCCAUUGUAUUAAUGGGAAACCAUGGGGCAAAUUUCACAUACAGGAUGGGUUCCUGUUUCGCGCUAACAAGCUGUGUGUUCCAGCUAGCUCGGUUCGUCUUUUGUUGUUACAGGAAGCACAUGGAGGCGGUCUCAUGGGGCACUUUGGCGUCUACAAGACACAUGAGGUGUUGGCUGCCCACUUCUUUUGGCCUCGGAUGCGCGCUGAUGUUGAGCGCCUUGUUGCACGCUGCACUACUUGUCAGAAAGCUAAGUCACGGUUAAACAACCAUGGUUUGUAUAUGCCUUUGCCUGUUCCUACUUCCCCUUGGAUUGAUAUUUCGAUGGAUUUUGUUUUGGGAUUGCCUAGAACUAAGAAGGGGAGGGAUAGCAUUUUUGUGGUUGUUGAUCGAUUCUCCAAAAUGGCUCAUUUCAUACCUUGUCAUAAGACUGAUGAUGCUAGCAAUGUUGCUGAAUUAUUUUUUAGAGAGAUUAUUCGUUUGCACGGUAUUCCCAAUACAAUAGUCUCGGAUCGUGAUGCCAAGUUUCUGAGUCAUUUUUGGAGAUCUCUGUGGAAUAAAUUAGGAACUAAAUUGCUGUUUAGCACCACUUGUCACCCUCAGACUGAUGGUCAAACUGAGGUAGUUAAUCGAACUUUGUCUACCAUGCUUAGGGCUGUUUUAGACAAAAAUUUGAAACGUUGGGAGGAUUGCUUACCUCAUGUUGAGUUUGCUUAUAAUCAUGCAACACAUUCUUCUACAAAGAUGUGCCCUUUUCAAAUUGUUUAUGGUUACAUUCCUAGGGCGCCUAUUGCUUUGUUUUCGCUUGAUGCUACGGACGCCCCACACAUAGAUGCUCUUGCACAUGUUGAACAAAUGAUUAAUCUCCAUGAACAAACUCAACAAAACAUUGCUGCUGCUAAUGCUAAAUAUCAGAUUACUGGUAGUAAAGGCCGGAAACUAGUUACUUUUGAACCUGGUGAUAUGGUUUGGUUGCAUUUGAGAAAGGAUCGUUUUCCUACUUUGCGCCGUUCUAAAUUGAUGCCUCGUGCUGCUGGUCCUUUUAAGGUACUAACCAAGAUUAAUGAUAAUGCUUAUAUCCUUGACCUGCCUGCGGAGUUUGGUGUUUCCACUAGUUUUAAUGUUGCAGAUUUGAAACCGUAUGUGGGAGAAGAUGAGGAGUUGCCGUCGAGGACGACUUCAGUUCAAGAAGGGGAGGAUGAUGAGGACAUCAACACCAACACGAGCACAUCUACACCAGCAGCACCUUCUCCAGCCCAGGCACCAUCUUCCCCAGUCCAGGCGCCACCCCUUCCACCUGGGCCAGUGACUCGGGCCCGUGCAAGAGAAUUGAACUACAUCAUGUUGUUAAAGAACGAAGGCCCGGAAGAAUAGACGACCAGCCCAAUUGCGGCCCAUAAUGGACGACCUAGGGUUGGCCGCCCCUAGGGGCUGCGCCCCCUCUCUAUUUAUACAGGAGCUGCGCCUCCUUUAUUUUCCGAGUUUUGUUUUACGUUAGCCUUAGCUACUUUCGAACACGCGCAAAUCUGCGCUGUCCUCGUGUAUUCAGAACUCCACCCUCGAGUAAUAGAUUAGAUUGCUCGCAUCUUGUUCUUGUUCGUUCUUCGUUUGCGCACAGGAAACGAUCUUCGUGAUCAGGCCGAUCUCGCAUCAGCAAGGUCGGUAACCACAGGGAGUUGGUUCAGCGAUUGCAUUGGCGCCUCGGGCUUGCUCGUCGUAGUCGGAUCGCAAGGGUCAUCUUCCGCCAAAUCGGAAUUAUCUCUACUCGCCGAAAGAUCGGGCACCUCAGCUACAUCAAGUACAUUCCUGCCUAUCUGAGAAUGGAGAACCUUUGCUGUCAUUCUGCUGAAACUUCCUCCAGCAUUUUUAAGCCCCUCAGGCAUCCGAAGGUAGCAAUAUGUCCCACUAGGGGUUAUGAAGCUGGUUUUUGGUUCAUCUUCCUUCUUCAUCCAUAUUUGAUGAUAGCCUGAAUAGCAAUCCAGCAAACUCAUGAGCUUUGAUGAAGCUGCUGCAUCAACUAAGGAAUCUAUCCUUGGCAAUGGAAACUCGUCCUUCGGAUAGGCUUUAUUAAGAUCAGUAAAAUCGAUACACAUUCUCCAUUUACCAUUGGCCUUCUUCACCAUAACAGUGUUAGCCAACCAUUCUGGAUAUUUUACCUCUCUAAUAACUCCGGCACUGAGGAGUCUUUUCACUUCAUUUCGAGCACCUUCGGCCUUGUCAUCAGACAUCUUCCGAAGCCUCUGUUUCCUGGGUCUGAAGGAUGGAUCAACAUUGAGCGAGUGCUCAAUAACAUCCCUGUUAACUCCGCAAAGAUCAUUAGCUGACCAAGCAAAAACAUCUUUAUUGUUAAACAAAAACCUUAUCAAGGUUUUCUCCUGCUCUUCGGACAAUUGAGAUCCCAAUAGCACCUUCUGCUCUGCUAUAUCCUCACAUAAGAGCAUGGGUUUCGGCUGGUCAGCCGAAGCAGCUUUUUCCCUUCUGAACUUGUAUUACUCACAAGCUUCAGUUCCAUCUAUAUUAUGGAUUGCUUUUGAGUCUGUCCAAUUUCCUUCGGCCCUUCUAGCAGCUUCUUGACUUCCAUGAAUAGCAAUGGGCCCUUGGUCCGAAGGUAUCUUCAUACAAAGAUAAGCUGGAUGCAGAAUUGCUUCGAAGGCAUUAAGGGUACCACGACCAAUGAUUGCAUUGUAAGGGUACUCCAUGUCAACGAUAUCAAACAUAAUUUGUUCAGUUCUUGUGUUGUUGAUGAAUCUGAAGGCCACUGACAUUGAGAUUUUGCCGAGUGCUACAAUCUGCCUUCCUCCGAAGCCACAGAGGGGAUGUGUGGCAUCAAGAAUUUUAUCUUCGGGCUCUUGCAUCUUUCUGAAGGCUUUAGCAAAUAUGAUGUCAGCUGCACUGCCUGUAUCAACCAAAACAUUGUGGACCAGAAAUCCUUUGAUAACACAAGAGAUAACCAUAGCAUCAUUGUGUGGGUAAUCCUUGAGUUGAAGAUCCUCUUGGGAGAAGGUAAUAGGAAUGUGAGACCAUCUUGACUUGAUGAAGGGUCCUUGCACCCCGACAUGCUGUACCCUUCUCUGUGCUUCCUUCUUCUGCUUCUUGUUGGCUAGUUCUAAACAUGAACCGCCUGUUAUCGGGAGUACUAGCUUCGGAACCGAAGCAGCUCCAGCUUGAAUAUUGAACGAAGCCAUCAACUCAAAAAAAGUGGUAGUGAGUUCACCGGAGGUGGGCGCCAAUGUUGGGGACUUGUUCUCAAAUGCUAUGAAUUAAGAACAAUGUAACACCCCAGGUGUUACUCAGGGUGUCCAUCCCAGGGUUACCCCUUUACCCAUUAUCACAUGAAGACUGAAUUGGGCAAAGUAUACCAAACUUGGAAUUCUAGGUCCUAAGCAAGUGUAAUCCACCUUGGAUGUCAUGCCCUAGCUUAUCAUGCACAUCUAAGUGGGGAUCUCCCAAAACCCUAGAGCAAAACCCCCAUGGGCAAUUAUAACCCUAAUUGAAGCCAUGAUCAAAAGAUCAUGUAAACAUCAUGAUCAUGGUUUGGGCCAAAUAUAAAAGUUGUAAUAUACUUAAUAACCUACAAUUAAUAGUAAGGAAGUACCCCCAAAAAGUUUUCAGAAAGGUCCUAAAAAGAUCACCAAAGGUUGAACACAAGGGAAAAAUGCAGAUUUUGUCUAAGUCAAAAACCAACCCUUGAGCAAAGAUCCCUCAUGUUCACCUUGAUCCCCUUUUCAAAACCAGUCGACCCAAUUAGCAAAGUGGCGCCAAAUAAACCCUAGAAUGCCCUGGAAAAGUUUGAACCUAAGCCAAAACCAUUUGACACGAGUUGGCACUGGUUUUGUCUCGGUUUGCACAGGGCAGACAGACAAGACUUGGCGCUACCAUAUCUCCUCAACCAGACCACAUCUACUCUUGGAAAUCACAUGAACUAGGUAGCUCUAGGUACAGGGAAGAGAUCUCCCACAGGCGGUAGGGCGAGAUUCGUACGCUUGGCCGCUCAGCAGAGCGAAGAACACGGGCAGAAGCAACGCGCCACGUGUUCGACGCGCUCUGAGCUCGCCAGAGCACGCCCGCGCGCGCGCCCCGCGUGCCCGCGUCGCGCCAAACGGUUGAACCGGCGCCCCGGCCGCGUCCGCGCCUAUAAAACCCGCCCCAGCGCUCGGUUGCCUUCCCCGUUAUCCCCUCCGUACCUCGCCGGACUCGCCCGAGCCAGCCAUUAACUCCGGCGACCUCCCCGCAGCCCGCCAGUGCCGACCAAGAGCCACCGCCGUGGCCAACCCCUCUCCAGUCCCCCUCCGUUCGAUUCAAGCCCCCAGAUAGCUUCCUGGUGAGACCGUGAGCCUUGCUCAAGCUUGAACCGAGGGCCCGCGUCACCGGAGAAGCCAAAUCGCGCUCAUCGGAGUUCAAGAACUCACCGGCGCACGUGGACCGGGUAAACCCCUUCACCAUUUCCCGAUUCGUUGCGCGCAUGGCCUCUGUGUCAUUUCGUGAAGCUCCUCGUGCCCAUUAAUUGAACUCUCCCGCCGUGGUUUGGCCGGAGCAGGCGCCGCCGUCGAUCCCCGCCGCCUGUGUUCGUGGCCAGGGGAGCUCCGACCACCUCUGACGCCGACCCGCACAUCGACGUGACCGUCGCGACCUCCUGAACAUCGCUGACCACCUCGCCGGACCUCCCUCGCCGCCGGUAAGCCGCGCCACCCUUUUCUUUCCCGCGGCUACUGUUUCAGUUAAGGGAAGGACUGCGGGUGAGAGGGAGAGAAAUCCAGGGGGUUAAGUGAAAAGUCAGAGACUCAAGUGAAUAGUGGCGUAAGGGUAGAUCUGCGAGGUUUGAUUCGGUUUAAACCCAGGGACCUCGCCGCAAACUGUUUUUCCAGAAAAACUUAAUUAAAACCUGAUUUAAAUUCAAACAGAAACUUUAAAAACCCAUAACUUCUGUUUGGUUUAUCCAAAUUUGGUCAAACUAAUUUUGCCAGACUCUAAAUAAUGUAACCUGUCUAAGAAAAAUAUAAAACCCCAUAAGCACUAGAGAAAAAUAUAAAGUUAUGAUUUAAUUACAGUUUGGACCAAAAGCUUAAUAAUAGCAAGAAAAAUGGUUGUACUAUUUAACUAAGGUUAGAAAAAUUUGGAGAAGUUUAUAUCUACCUACUGACCUAGUUAAAAAUGUUAAACCCCUCUGUCCAUUUCAUUAAAUUAGUUUUAACCCCUUAUUCCAUAAUAUGCUUAAGUUUAAGAAAAAUAGAAAAAGUGACAUAAAUAAUGAACCAGAGGGCACCCCUAUUUUUGUUGAGAUACUUAGUCAAUGUAGUUCACUGGAAAAAUGUAUCAUACCCUGCUGUAGUGUAAAAUAAGAAAGCUACCUUUUAAAUUAAUAAAACAAGGAUAACUUAGAAAAAACCUACAAAAAUAACCCUAAGGUAAAACCUCCCCAAACCUUAGGAUAACUAAUGUGUUGAUAAUAAGAACUUAAGAAAAAUCUGAAAUCUGUUGUUUGAUAUUUUUCAAACAACAAGUUAGUUCUAAUCACCCUUUUUGCACCAAACUUCAAAAAUCCAUCAUUAAUCAACCAUCAUGCUGCCCUCUGUCCUUUUUGGUACAAGAGCUUUUUAUCACUACUAGAGGCCAACAAAAAUAACCAUUAGGUCAGGACCCACUUUAAUAAAAGACUUGUAGUGUAAAGUGGCCCUUUUUGCCUAACUUUGUUAUUUUUGUUUAAAGCCUAACUUUUAUACUUUAAGCCUCAAAUUCUCAAAAUAAGCUCAAAUAGCCAGUGACAACCCACUGUAAUUUUUACAGAAUUUUUGGAAAUUUUUAAAACCCUGUUGUAGUUCAAACCUACCCUAGAAACCCUAAAUGGAAAUUAAGGAAAGGAAAAUGAAUAAUGGAAAUUUAUGUCAUCUUAAGACCUUUGUAAAUUGUCCACUAAAAUCUAUAAAGGCAAUACCAAUCCACUGUAAUAAUCUAAAAGAAAACCUAAUCUUAAAAGGUAAUAAGUUUAUAUCUAUAUACCACUAGAAGCCCCGCAUGACUAAGAAACCCUAAAUUACUUCUUGACUUAGUUUCUUUAGCUUAAUGUUCUUAAAUCUUGCAUAAUCAUGACAUACAUGUUCAUUGCAUUUCGAUAGACUGUAAUCUUGCUGACGGAGAGUACAUCCUCGUGCCGGAGCAAGGAGCUGCUCAGGAGGUAGCCCCGGACCCAGCACCCGAGCCUGCUCCAGAGGACCUGCCUGCCACUGCUUUGGAAGGCAAGCCCCGGUUUUAUGCAUAACCUGUUAUUUAUGCUAUUUUACUUCACUUAAUGAUUGUAGGUUUGAUUGUGCACUUAGGUGUAGGAGUUGUUUGAAACCCUAGUUGCAUGAUCUCAGGAAUCCCUUUGAGAUGAAUACUAGUAUGACAGGUCGAGUAGUUGCUUUAUUUAAUUAGGAUCUCGGUAGAAGACGAGUGAUUUUUCUAGCACUCGCGCGAGAUCAGGAAAUUGAUUGUACCCACUUUCACACUGUCAUGAUACUAGUUGGUGGACAACAAUCCAUGGGGAUUGGUUGUUUGCAAGAUGGAAAAAGGAAUAAGGAUUAACGUGCGGAUACCUGUGUCAAGCGUUUGAAUGUACUAAGCACAUGCCGAGAAAUAUGGUAAAUCGGUAAGCCUAGUACCUGAGUGAACCUGCCCGCAGAUUGCCCUCCUCACGCGACCUGAGACGAGGUCUCCCAUUCCGGUUAUGGUGGGUACAAGUGCGGUCACUGCACGACGGCCAGUCGGGGUCAGUGAGGCAUUGUACGCCAAGGCGGUGAGCCCCUUUCUGUUGCCAGGGAAUCGAUGGGGACGGUUGAUAUGUGUGGGGACGGAGUGCCCCUGCAUGUCGUGUGUUUAGGUUUACCUUGCAAGGAUAAAAACUCGAUUCGAAUCGUCUGCUUCUCGCAGCUAAUGAGACUGCUUGAUCCAUUGUACUGCAUUGAGUAAUAAGUGGAAGUACGUUGAGUUGAGAUCAGAUGUUGAUUGUUAAUAAUGCUUGCUACCAUGUAUGAGUAGAUAGUCCAUUUUUAGCCUUAAGAGAGUCACACUUAACUUUGACUAAGUUAAAACCUUGAUGUAGAAACUCAGCUAGUGCUUUUGGCAACCAAACCCCACAGCCAAACAGCUGCAUGUCUAGAGGUAGAGGAGUAGACUCCUCACACCGGGUAAGUCUAGCUGAGUAUUAGUAUAAUCAGCCUUGCUUGUGGCAUAAUUUUUACAGGUUCUCUGGAGGAGAUGGUUGCCGGGAUGACUUGGCCGUCCACCUUGCCACCGGGUUGGACUGUUGAGUGGGACCCUGCCUCGGCUGAGGAGGAGCAUGAGGAGUGAUGGGACAGGCUUCCCCAUCUCUCUGUCUAAUUAUCGUUAGUUUUAUUCCGCUGCACUUCAAACAAUGAUGGUUACUUUUGCAAAAACUCCGAUGAUGAUGAUGGUGAUGUAAUAAUUUAACAUUGUGGCAUGUAUGGUUUUAUGCUUUAUUGUAUUUGCUCUGUGACUCACCUUCGAGUGAGAUUGUGGUACUUGAUCCUGUCAGUGGCCGUGUCGGACUAGAUCCGAGGGAUUGACGGGUUAUUCCCAUUUAAGUGUGGUCCAGCCUCUAAGGCGGGGCUUAGGCACUUAAGUUGGAAUAAUUCGGGCAGUUCCGCCACAAACAAGGCAACAUAAAAUGUUAAAUGUUAAUGUCCUUCGUCCGCUGAAGCACUAUUCCCUCAAGGAUUUAAUGAACUUCGGACGAAGGUUAAAACGACACAAUUACGAAGGUUGGAUUUUCAUAAUUAAAUUCUCAAAGAUUAUAUAAAAUAAUGUGAGAUAUAAAGCAUUAAAGACAAGUAAACUAUAAGAAAACAACAUCAUAUGCAUAUUAUAUAAACUUGAUGUAUUCAAACACAAUAUUAGAUACAUUUAUACCUCUGCCUUGCCAAGGAAUAAUUCCACAGUGAUGUGAUUGCAAUUACAGGAAUGCGUGAACAGUAAAGGAAUACUGUUCACUAUUUAUAGGCACAAGACACAGCCUGUGAGGAAUUACAAUCAUGCCCCUCGUAAAAGUUUACAACAAUGACUCAAACACUUGUGGACUAAAAGGUCAUUCUACUUUUAAGUCGGUUUGCAAUUCCAAAGCUUCAUGAACAGCAACCUUCGGUCAUCACGUGCAGACAGCUUCAGCCGAAGCUGUUUCUUCCUGCAGGACCUUCGGCGACGAAGCAUGGUCCCAACAAUGGCGAUGCGCAACCCGUUAACCAGAGCCUCGGACUCGACCACAUUGUUUGAAGCCGGGAAAUGGAGGCGCAGCACGUAACGGAGGUGCUUUCCGAGGGGUGAGAUAAAGAGCAGGCCCGCGCCCGCUCCUGUUUUCAUCAGCGACCCGUCGAAAAACAUGGUCCAGAGUUCUGGUUGGAUCGGAGUUGCUGGAAGCUGGGUGUCGACCCAUUCAGCCACAAAGUCUGCCAAGACUUGGGACUUGAUGGCCUUCUGAGGAGCAAACGAGAUUGUCUCGCCCAUGAUCUCCACCGCCCAUUUCGCAAUCCUACCCGAGGCCUCUCGGCACCGGAUGAUCUCCCCCAGGGGGAAGGAUGACACCACAGUCACCAGAUGAGACUCGAAGUAGUGUCGCAACUCACUGAUGAAGUAGACCGGCCUCUGGACGAGCAAUGCAUGCCCUUCUUCUUCGUGCGCCCCUGAGGCAACUUGUCCUUCCGGAAGAUGGCCUCGACCGCCUCCUGACCAAAGGCGAACUUGGUGGCGAUGUCCAUCAGCUCGCUCGCCCUGGUGGGAGUCUUGCGACCCAGCUUGCUCACCUGGUCGCGAAAAGUGGUGCCGGCGAGGAACGCACCGAUGACAUCUGAGUCGGUGAUGUUGGGCAGCUCGGUGCGCUGCUUCGAAAAUCGCCGGAUGUAGUCCCGCAGGGACUCUCCUGGCUGCUGGCGGCAGCUUCGGAGAUCCCAGGAGUUCCCAGGGCCCACGUAUGUGCCCUGGAAGUUUCCGGCGAAGGCUUUGACCAGGUCGUCCCAGUUGGAGAUCUGCGCAAGAGGCAGAUGCUCCAUACAGGCCCGGGCAGCGUCGGAGAGGAACAGGGGGAGGUUGCGGAUGAUGAGGUUGUCAUCGUCCGUUCCACCCAGCUGGCAGGCCAGCUAGUAGUCCGCAAGCCACAGUUCCGGCCUUGUUUCCCCCGAGUACUUGGUGAUGGUAGUCGGGGUUCGGAACCGGGUCGGGAACGGUGCCCGUCGUAUGGCCCGACUGAAAGCUUGCGGACCGGGUGGUUCGGGCGAGGGGCUCCGAUCCUCCCCACUGUCAUAGCGUCCCCCAUGCCUGGGGUGGUAGCCUCGGUGCACCUUCUCGUUGAGGUGGGCUCGACGGUCGCGGCGGUGGUGCUCGUGGCCGAGGCGACCCGGGGUUGCAGGCGUUGCGUCUCGCGUGCGCCCGGUGUGGACCGAGGCUUCCCGCAUGAAACGGAAAGUCACGGCGCGAUGCACCGGGGGGGUACCCCUGCCUUUGGCAGGCAGAGCUUUCGGCCCGUCGGACCGCGGCAUCCUCCAGGAGAUUCUUGAGCUCUCCCUGGAUACGCCGCCCCCCGGUGGUGGAUGGUUCCGGCAUCGCUCGGAGUAGUAUUGCUGCCGCAGCCAGGUUCUGGCCGACCCCGCUGGAAGCCAGAGGCAACCUUGCCCUGGCAUCAUCAGUGAUGCGGUGCUGGACGUCCUGGGCCAGAUGACACGCUUCUCCGGCCGGUGCUCGGCCUGCCCACUCCUGCCCGAUGUUCUGUCGGAGCUGCACAAGUUGUUCUGCUUCCUCAUCGAUCCUGGCCUGCAUCUCACGGAUUUGCUCGAGUUGUGCGUCCUGACCCCCCGCAGGGAUUGGGACCACAGCUAGCUCCCGAAGGAUGUCAACGCGAGGCGCAGGCCUAGGGGGAUCGCCAUCCUCCGGCAUACCAAGGUGGUUGCCUUCGUCGAGACCCCCUAGAUCGACAUGGAAACAUUCGUGACUUGGGCCACAGUCCUCGUCGUCAAGGCUGUGGCCACCAUCGGAGCAAUCGGAGAGGUAGUAGUCACAUGCGGUCAUGAAGUCCCGCAUGGCACUAGGGUUAUCGAGCCCGGAGAAAUCCCAGCCAAAGUCGGGCUCGUCAUCCUCCUCGGAACCUGGGGGCCCGUAGGUUGAGACGGCCGUCAGUCGGUCCCAGGUUGACCACAUAUGGUACCCCAGAAGGUUGGGAUAUGCCUUUACGAAAGCGUCCACCGAAGCGAGAUCGCUCGGUGGGUCGAGGCUGAAUCUAAAAGGCACAGGGUGGAAAACAGACGGUACCUCUUGAUCGACGGAUGUUGACGGAGCCGCGUCGGGGACGGACUGCACCGUGAUCUCAGGUACGAGGCUAACACCCAGCAAGUCCUUCGCGAGCGUGCUGGCGUCAUCCGUUCACUUGGGGUUGGCGUGUUGCGGGGAAACGACGCUCGUCUUCGUCUCAGACGUGAGGUCAACGCCCGAUGUGUCCCCCGCUGGGGCGCCGGCGUCGUCGAUUCGCUCGACAGCCAACGAGGUGUCGCCUCCGGCUUGGCCAUGGUUGCCUCGCCUCCUCCUCCUGUGGCGGGGAAGGUGACGGGACAGGCCUGGAUGCUGCUCUUCCGCCAUGGGGGCAAGACGUCAUCGAUUCCGCCGCCGGCGGGCGGGUUGACGGCCGCCAUUGUCGUUGUCGCGCGGCGGAGGAAGGAGUACCAUGUCGUAGCUGUCGUCGAGGGACAUGAACUCGAGACUCUCGAAAUGGAGCAUCGUCCCGGGCUGGAGAGGUUGCUGGAGACUACCCAUCUGGAGCUUGACGGGAAGGUAUUCGUCAACACGCAGCAGGCCCCUACCUGGCGCGCCAACUGUCGGCGUUUCGACCCCGGGGGGUCCCUGGACCGACGAGUAAAUUGUCACUGCGUGUCCCAGCCCAGAUGGGUCGGCGCGAGACGGAACACAAGGGGGAACAAAAAAGGGAACCGCGGCUCGUGUUGUCCUGCGCCCAGGGCGGAUGCGUUUGCAGUAGGGGGUUACAAGUGUUCGCGAGGGAGAGUGAGAGAGAGAGAGAGAGCCUGUUCGUUAGCCCGUUGUCCCGCGUGGCCACCUUCCCGUACGAGGGCCUUGGACCUUCCUUUUAUAGAUGUAAGGAGAGGGCCCAGGUGUACAAUGGGGGGUGUAGCAAUAUGCUAACGUGUCUAGCAGAGAGGAGCCAGAGCCCUAUGUACAUGCCGACGUGGCUGUCUGAGAGGUGUUGGUGCCCUGUUCAUGUGAUGUCGUGGCCGUCGGAGGAGCGCAUAAACCCUGUAGAAGCACAGCUGUCGGGGCUGUCGGGUCCUUGCUGACGUCUUCUUGCUUCCGUAGGGGGCUAAGAACCGCCGUCGUCAUGGAGCACGCGGGGUGCCAUCAUUACUUGUUUACCGAGGCGAGCCAGAUGGGACGCCGGUCUUGUUCCCCGUAGCCUGAGCUAGCUAGGGGUAGGGUAAUGAUGUACCCCCCUAUAACGUGGUCAGUCCGAGCCCAAGGUCGGGAGAGGCGGUGACUCCACCGAGGUCGAGGCUGAGUCCGAGCCCUGGGGUCGGGCGAGGCGGAGACCGUCUUCCGAGGUCGAGGUUGAGUCCGAGCCCUAGGGUCGGGCGAGGCGGAGACCGUCGUCCAAGGUCGAGGUGGAGUCCGAGCCCUAGGGUCGAGCGAGGCGGAGACCGUCUUCCAAGGUCGAGGUUGAGUCUGAGCCCUGGGGUCGGGCGAGGCGGAGACCUUCUUCCGAAGUCGAGGUUGAGUCCGAGCUCUGGGGUCAGGCGAGGCGGAGACCGUCGUCCGGGGUUGAGGCGGGGGCCGAGCCCUGGGAUCGGCCGAGGCGGAGCUUCCUAUGGCGCCUGAGGCUGGACUCGGCUGUUGUCGGCCCCACCCUGGUGAGUGGCACAACAGUCGGAGCAGGGCAGGCGGCGCUGUUUUCCUGUCAGGUCAGUCAGUGGAGGGGCAAAAUGACUGCGGUCACUUCGGCCCUGUCGACUGAGGAACGCGCGUCAGGAUAAGGUGUCAUGUGAUCCUUGCAUUGAAUUCUCCUACGAUAUGGUCGGUUGGCGUGGCGAUCUGGCCAAGGUUGCUUCACUGCGAAGCCUGCCUGAGCUGGGCCUCGGACGAGUCAAAGGUGCGCCCGUUGCUUGAGGAGGCCCUCGGGCGAGGUGUGAAUCCACCUGGGUCUACUGUUCCUGCCCAAGGCUGGGCUCGGGCGAGGCGAGAUCGUGUCCCUUGAGCGGACGGAGCCUUGACCUGUAUUGCGCCCAUCAGGCCUCUGCAGCUUUGUGUUGAUGGUGAUUACCAGCCGAGUUUAGGAGUCUUGGGGGUACCCCUAAUUAUGGUCCCCGAUAAUUCUUAUGUAAAAAUAUGUUUUCUUGUGCCUGUUUGUAUUCGUUGCGCGUUGCAAAUAGAUUGCGAUCUGUUCCUGAGCUUUGAGGAAUCGACGAUCAAGAUUUGGUGAACCACUCAUCCCGAGAUCAAGUUCUUCGAGUUCUACAAAGUUGAAGACCCUGAGCAUUUGAUUGGUAAGGCAAGUGUCCUCUAACCUAUUAUGUCCCAUUUACUUUAUAAUUCAUCAACCCGCAUACCAUAAUCAACCUAAGGAUUGACUAGUAUUCUGUUUUCCUAUCCUUGUUUACCCUUUGGGAAUUGAUUAUUAUGAUUAGUUCUAUGCUAGCUCUUUACUUUAAUCAAUGAACAUGAUGAGAUACAAUGAUGAUACUAUGAUUUUAUUCUGGAUAUGAUGAUAUACUUGUGGCAUUUUAGGGGACUCGAGCGGUUUCUGGAGUGCCUCUCUGUAAGGACCUGUUCGUUGGAUGACCACCCGGGAAAAUAGUGCAACCAUGAGAGUGGUAUGGGACGCCCUUAGCUAAUUAAUUAGAGGAACUGAGGUGUAGUUCGCUUCAUCGUCGUGCCGUCAAUGGGGCUCGGUGUAUGCAGCUCGCUCUGCUGAGGGUGGUUUGCCCCUUGGAGAGGACUGCAGUACAUUUAGGAAACCUAACGGGCGGCUACAGCCUCAGGGAAUCUUUGUAAAGGCUUCAUAGUGAAUCCCUGGCCAUUCACCUCGGGAGUGAACAAGGGUCUUGCAAGCCCGUGCUAGAGAGGGAAUCACGGCUCGUGGGUAAAGUGUGCAACCUCUGCAGAGUGUUAUGAAACUGAUAUAUCAGUCGUACUCACGGUUAUGAGCGGCCAAGGGAGCUCCAUUGAUUAGAGACACAUUGAUCAGAGAUGUUUUGGUUACAGAUGAUGAUGAGGAUAAUGUUGGUUUCUAUUAUGAUUAUGAUUAAGAUUAUGAUUUCAGGUAUUCUUUCCGUUUGGAAGGAGUACUUUUGGGCUAACAACCUAGGUUAAUGUUAAAACCUGGCUCUCUACUAGUAAUAAUUACCUGACCAACUAAAAGCAACUGCUUGACCCUAACCCCACAUAAAGCUAGUCCACUACAGCCAAACGGGAUAUUUGCUGAGUACGUUGAUGUGUACUCACCCUUGCUUUCACAAAACACAAGGUUGCCUUUGGUACAAUCUAUGCUCAGGUAAAGAAGGUGUCAAGGCGGAUCUUCAGGAGUUCCAGGACUUCUACGAGUUCGGGGAUUAGGCUAGCGACCUCCCCCAGUCAGCUGCCUGUGGUGGGUUGUUUAUGUUGGCUACGUUUCGAUUCUGUGUACUUUGAUUUAUAUUAUGUAAAUGGCUCUAGUCUGUAAUAUUAUUACUUACUCUUUAUUGUUAUCCGAAGCAUUGUGCUAUGAUGUGUCAUUUAUGUAAUCGUUGUGUACGUGAAUUUCUGAUCCUGGCACGUACAUGGUUCGCAUUCGGUUUACCUUCUAAAACCGGGUGUGACACAUGACGAAGGUCGAUGCUUGCCGAAGGUGGUCGUAUGAGUUCACCGGAGGUGGGCGCCAAUGUUGGUCCUUUUUCUCAGAUGCUAUACACCAAGAACAAAGCAACACAAUUGUUAUUGAUUAGGGACCUUCGUCCUUUGACGCAUUAUCUCCCUUAGGAUAUAAUGACCUCUAGACGGAGAUCAUGAAGGACAUACCUUCAUCUUUUUAGUGAGAGAAGAUAUGAAUAAAGACAUACAAAACACAAAAAGAAUAUAAACAAUCAUUCCAAAUCAUUAUAUUAUUCAUCUCUUUAUUUUAUAAACAUGAAAAACAUCAAUAGCAAUUAUAUUACAUUUGUACCUUCAGCUUGACAGAAGGUAAAAGAGCGGAAGUGACACAGGAGUGAUUACAAGUCAGCGUGAACAGUACGAUGUUACUGUUCAUCUAUUUAUAGGCACAGACACAGCCUGGAUGAAAUUACAUUCAUGUACUUGACAUUCACUGUUAACAAUAAGGCAAAUUGUCGAGGACUAGGCAGUCUUUUCCCCCUUAAGUCGGUUUCUCCUUUCACCAUCAUUAAUGUGUUGAGCCGAAGCUCCUUCAGCCACAUCUUUGGAGCUAGCUUGUCCUUUGUUCAAACCGCACCUUCAUACCACACACACCUUCAUCUUAAAGCCGAAGCUUCCUGAAACAGUUUAUUAUACUGGAAAACAUGUUAUUUAUGUUUUUGAGGACCUUCGGAAGAGGAAGGCCCCCAACACAUGCCUAACAUGAUAAUUAUGGAAUCGACUUUCGUUGAUCCCCAACUUCCUAUAUAUUGCACUCUGUUACCCAACUGUACAAGAUAAGGGAUUACCAGAAAGUGGUAAGGUAAGAAUGAAAGAAUAUUUCUAGGUAAGUGUUUGAAAAUUAUUUUGAAGUACUACGUAAUAUCUGAAGAGAUGGGUUUCGCUCCGAUACCAGUUGUGACGAAACCUCCCAAGGUAUUAGGCCCACCUACAGUUGUCCUUGUCCUAAGGACCUUAGACAACCCUAUAGAUGCAUAUAAUUACUCGACAAGUUCGGUAACUGUAUCCUCAUCAUUUCACCCAAGAGCGCUUCACCCGUCACGCAGAUAUUACAUCACAUCGGAGGAAAGAAUAAGCAGAAGCAGAUUACAAUAACUUAAUUUACAUUCAUAAAAUAUAUAGAGAGAGUAUUAUUAUUACAAUACCAGGGUAUUUAGAGUGCAUAAAGUAUUAUUACAGACUAGGGAGGCAAAACACCCUCCCGCACAAAAGUUUAUUGUUUUCAAGUGGGAGGCCAACAUCCUCCCGCUACUAUCUUCAAUGUUGGGACUCUUUCUUGGGUACCACCUUUGAACAGAAACAACAAAACUCUGUUGUUUCCUCACCUACAACAACAUGGGUUCGAAAACCCUGAGUACGGAGUGUACUUUCACAAGUCUUACCCGACAAAAGAAAAAGACUCUCAAGGAUAUGCUGGCUUGAGGGAGUCAAGGUAAGGCUAUUCAAGAAUCAAAUACUAUGUUUGCAGAAAUUAUUACUAACAAUGGAUCCUUAAAAAUCCAGUUUUAUUAUCAGGUUAAGUCAUUACCUGAAUCUAGAGUUCUGUCUACCCUAGUUCAAGCACUUGGCCAACACUAGCCAUCUUUUCAUCAUCCCUUUAGUUUACUGGAUUGCUACGUGUAAGUCAGUGACCAAGUCUUCAUGUUCGAGAAGUAACGGCGAUCCGAAUCGAUUAAUACCUAGCUAGGGAUCUCCAAUCACACGACAUAUGUAGCACAUAACCCUUGCAUAUGUCAACUCACCACCGGGUUUCUCAAGACCAGACCGGGUUCACGCCAACCGAGAGCACAGAUACAACCGGGUCCAGCCUCUUGCCAUGGAGGGUACAUGCUACUCUCGCCAUCUCUCCACUCCCAUUGCGUGUUGGCCUUUCUAAUAUUGGUCUGCCCGAGGCAAAGCUUACCCAUGACGAGGCAUGUGACCAGUUAAAGGGUCCUCGGUCAGCAGGCGCACAUCGACAUGGUCCUUAAGCGACUCAGAUGGAGACACUACACCGAGACUUCCUUCUCAUGCAAGUCACCCGCCCGGUUUCAUCUUUAUCAUUUACAAUCCCAAAGUUUGGUACCUGGCAGAGGUACAUCUUUUCCGAUGUUGAACCCAUCACGGCCAUGAUGGAUUCACUAUCAAGUUUUAUUUUUGAAAACUUCCCAUUCCAUCUGAAGCAUCAUCUUUUGUUAAAACAAAACAUUUUUGUUUUCUAAAGCAAAACUAAGCAUCAAAAAACUUCUUAAGUAAAACAGGUAUCAAGGAAUGGUAAUCAAUUUCAAGGUAGGAAAUGCAGCAAUUGUGUAGCAUUAAACUCCUAUCACCUAAUGCAUCAUUUCAAGUGAUAAAGAAUUUAAAACAACAAGGAAAGGUAAAUGCACCGGGGCUUGCCUUGUGUUGUAGGGUUUCGGGAUAUGUUCCACAUAUAUCAAAAUAAAAACUAUUCCCGGUUGGUGGAGGCUCAGUUGGUGGUGCAACUUCUUCUUCAACUACUUCUUCCUCGUUUUCUAAACAUAACAAUAUACAUACAUAAAUGCCCAUGUGAUGCUAUGAUAGUGCAGUUAUAGUAGAACAUAGUAAGUUAUAUCUUGAAUAUAACUUUCCUUCAUGGUACUCCUAAGUCACUAGGGUUUUCUAGGUUAACACCCUAGUAGGGUUAGGCAGUUCUAAUCUAAGAAGCUAGGGUUUUGGGAUCAAAUAAUGUCCAAAACAUGUCAAACUUCACCCAAAGGCUCUAAUUAUCAUAUUAAGUUGGCCCAAAAAGUUUUAUGAUUUUUGGAGCAAUCAAGUAAUUUCUAAAAUUCUAAAAGACUAGGUUUAGGCCUUCUUAAAUGUUAAAUAAUUCAUGGUUGGGACUAAAAAUCUUGGAACUAAUUUUAUUAAAUACUAGGGGAAUUUAGAAGUCUAGUAAAAUUAAUUUUAUAAUUUUUCUAGAAUUUUCUAUAAAUUUCCUAAGCCUGGUAGAAAAAAGAAAAGGGAAAAUGAUGAAUAGUGACGGGCUGAAACCAGCCCGAACCGGCCCAUGUCCAGGCGAAACGUGCCCGCGCGCGCUUCCGCGAUGUCAACUUUACGCAGAGGACCUCGGUCAUUCAAAUAACCGGUAAAGAACCCUGUGCACUAUUCAUCUAUGUCUCUGACAUUUACAGUUAGGCCCAUGCACUACUGUUUCUUCGCAGCGCCAAGUCAAAAAGGUGAACGGCGAAGAGCAUGCCUCAAGUGAACUUGUAUUGACCAAAAUACGCAACGGUUGGUGCCCUAACUCGGCUAACACCAAAUCCUACCCAGGCGAUCCUAAUCCCUCAACUAAUUGCACGAAUCCGGGCCGAAAUCUCUCUGUCCACGACGAUGGCGAAAAUCAGAGACAAUCUGAGGUGUUCAUGACGAUUUGGUGCGGUCUAGCUUAAUCAAAUGGGUCUACGAGCAAUGGGAGGCUUGAGGGAGGCUAGAAUACCAAUCAAAGAAGCUUGAACUGACCUGCAGAGGGCUGGCCACAGCGAAGUGUUCACGGUGGCGUGGAAAACGGAUUUGGGGGAAAUGCGAAAUUGGGAGGCUCUGGUGGAUAAUCAGAGGUGCGAGCUAGUGCACUGGGUCCGUAAUAACCUAGCAGAGCUCACUAGGGCAGCAAUUUAUAGACUCCAUCGGCGGUGGCGUCCAAUUUGAAGAAAGCGCGCUGGCGGCUGGAGAGAGGGGAAGCUACUGACGCGAGCGUUAUCGUGGCUUUCACCGUGGCAAAGACUCCGACGAUGGACGGACUCACUACUACGGUUCACUCCGACAUGUUCAAGCUCCUAGGCAUGUGGCGCACAGACGGUAAGCGGCCAACGCCGGCGAAGAUCAUCUCGGCCGGCCGCAGAACAAGUGGGUACGGUGAACCACCUAGUGACCGGGUCCGAGCCAUUCCGGGCGCCAAGAUCUUUUACUCCCCUCGUUUAUCCACUUUGCACUGAGCACGAAUCGCGGCGACUGGCGCGAAUCUGGGCGCGGGAUCACCGGCAGCGAGUUCACUAAACCUGUAUUCUUCUUCAGGUUACUGUACCAUUAGAACUCUCAUCAGAGCCCCUGAUAGAGCGAUUCGCAGGGCCUUAAUCGUUGAUUUUCAUGUGGCAACUACUUAAUCUAUCUGUAACGAAGUUGUUGUCCUAUAAUCCAGCUUCGAUUUUGUUAUAGCAGUCAUACACAUAUACUUACUGGAUCAUGCUCAAAAUAGCUGCCAAUUUUAGCCCUAGAUCAUUGUCAGUCCUGAUUCAGCGUCAAGGUCGACUGACAAACCAGUUUCAUGUCUAUUUUUCUCCCAUUUCCAUGUAGCAUUAGGGCUUAAUCACUUAAUCAAAUUUGUACCUCUAACAUAGCUCUACAAGUUUGCUGUAUUGACUUAGGACAAAACCUUUAUAAAUUUAGAGAUAUAGAGCUCCAAAGUGACCCCAUUCCACUGAAACUUAGACUUAACAUAUAGUGUUCAUGGGGUACUUUUGCAAAUAAGUCCAAAUCUUUCCACACUACAUGAGAAUCCUUCAAUGUGAAAGUUACUUGGUUUGUGGUGUUCUAUCACUUUGUUAUUUGCACUUUGGUCCAAAAGUGCAUAGAAUUUUCAUUUACCCCCCUAGGGCUCCAAUAAGGCUUUUCUAGGGUUUGUUUUUAGGGUUUGGGCACACUAGGGUUUUUGUGCCACUAAAGUUCACCAAACUUUAUAUCUUGUGAACAUUUCUAAUAGCUUUUGAGAUUUUACUCAUUUUGGCUUCACUUUCAUCCAUAGGCCCUAAUUCCAGGGUUAAGUACCCUACCUAGUAUUAAGUACACCUUAAGCCACAACAUCACAACUUCUUUUGAAAUUUUACCUAGUGAAUGCAUUCUAGGUGUAGCAAACAAAAUGAAAUGUCAAUGCACAUGAUGUUAUGCUCAAGUUUUAGUGCCAGUAACACUAGAGGUGUUACAGUCAAGCAUGACUUUUGGGUAAGAGUAUUGUUUGAUACUAACAUUUUAUGAUUUCUUUGAUACUAACUUUAUUUUUGAUGUUGGACAGAGACGCUAUCGUGUGGAACCUGAGGCUCAGGAGCAUGCAGACCGAGUAUUAGAGAAAAAUGCGAAGAUGUGCAAGGAUGCAUUUUCCAAUGCUCGUCUACAAGUUGUGAACGUGUACAUGAAGCGUCGAGGGCAUUCUAUCAACAACUUUGGACAGUAUUCGGAUGUCUACAUGACUAUGGACCAGUGCAUGGAGGUAAAAAACCUAAUCUACCAGCGCAUUCAGAUAUGAAUGUAAUUAUGUGCUAAUGCUUAGAUGCAUGUAACUCUUCCAUGGAUGGAACACCAGUUGCAGGCUUAUAGGGCUCUAUGUGAGAUAUGGACUUUGCCAGAGUGGAUUGAGAAGUCAAACAGGAAUCAACUUAGGCAGCGCCAUUAGCAGGACGGGGACGAUGAUGAGGUCAGAGUCAACCAUACCUAUGGGGCUAAUGGACAUAUUUGGAUGGCAAAUCAAAUGGUGAUUAUGUAGUAUUCUAUUUUACUAAGAGAUGGAACCGGUUUAAACACAUACAUUUUGUAACACCCUAUCCAAUUCCAGGACUGCGGUACUUACUCCUGGCAGCUCUCUAGGAUCAUAUAUUGUCCCCACAGACCAACAUGGGUCUUUUGUGCACACUUUGUCCUCACUCAUGCGCACCCAAGAAAACUUCCCGGUCGGUCACCCAUCCCAAAUUGCUUCAAGCCAAGCAUGCUUAACUUGGAGGUUCUUUCGAGAUAGGCUUCCGAAAAAGAAGAUGCAUCUUGUUGGUAUGGAUACUCUAUUUAUUCUAUUAAGUCUUGGGCCAGGAUAUCACCAUCCUAGGGGCUAGGAUAUGACAUAUUUGUAGGAGGCUCAAACUGAAGUUGUCUCUAGCCCAAUCGAUGUUUAUAGGCAAGGGCAUAGAGGAAAAACAGUUAAAAAUCUAAAGAGCUAUGCAGUUAGGUGGUCGCUGAGCGUCUGGUUAGUAGUUGUUAGGAUUAAUGUUUUCUUGCCAUAUAGCUAUAUAUUACAUAUGUGAUGAACCUUCAUAUUGCAUUGUAGGAGACUUACGGGUAGGAGAAGGUUAGGAAGCAUGGUGAAGACUAUGAUUCGCGAGGAGCGCCUACCAUCGACGCUGAAGUGUACAUUCUAUUGGAGGAAAGGCCCAUGGAUGGUUUGGACAUGUGAGAUUUUUUCAAUAAGAUUGAAAUUAUGACCGAAUAUCUAAUUUUCUUGUUUUCAAGGUAUUCUAUGUUUACCAGUAUGAUCGAUUCGAUGAAGUUGCGGUCUCGUGGGGGCCCUUCAUCACAGAUGGGUUGUGGUAGAAGUCGUAGUCGGCACUGGAGCAUGGAGGAGGCUAUGAGGGAGCAGCAAGAAAAGUUUCAUGAAGAGUUACGGCAGUAGAAAAUGGCAUUCGUCCGACAACAAUCAGUGUACAUUGUCACGGAACCUCCCAUGGUAUUAGGCCCACCUACAGAUGCCCUUGUCCUAAGGACCUCGGACAACCCUAUAGAUGCACAUAAUCACUCGACAAGUUCGGUCAUCUGUAUCAUCAUUAUCAUACCGCCCAAGAGCACUUCACCCAUCACACAAACAUUACACUCAUAAUCGGAGUAAGAAUAAGAGGAAGGAUUACAAUAACAUAAUUUACAUUCAUGUAUAAAAUAUAGGGAGAGUAUUUAUUACAAUACUGGGUGUUUGAGUGCAUAACAUAUUAUUACAUAUCAGGGAGGUAAAACAUCCUCCCACCAACAAGUUCACUGAUUUGCCUCCUCCUUUGGCACCACCUUCGAGUAGAAACAUCAAAACUCAGUUGUUUCAUCACCUACAACAACAUGGGUUUGAAAACCCUGAGUACAGAGUGUACUUUCACAAGUCUUACCCGACAAAAGAAAAAGACUCUUAAGGAUAUGCUGGCUUGAGGGAGUCAAGGUAAGGCUAUUCAAGAAUCAAAGACUCUUUUUACCCAUGACGAGGCAUGUGGCCAGUUAAAAGGUCCUCGAUCAUCAAGCCUACAUCGACACGGUCCUUAGUCGACUCAGACGGAGACACUACACCGAGACUUCCCUCUCGUGCAAGUCACCCGCUCGGUCUCGUCUUUAUCAUUUAGAACACAAAGUUUGGUACCUGGUAGAGGUACAUCUUUUCAGAUGUUGAACCCAUCAUAGCCAUGAUGGAUUCACCAUCAAGUCUUUUCUUUGAAAACUUCCCAUCCCAUAUGAAGCAUCAUCUUUUGUUUAAAACAAAACAUUUUGUUUUCUAAAGCAAAGUUAAGCAUCAGAAAACUUUUAAGUAAAACAGGUAUCAAGGAAUGGUAAUCAGUUCUAAGGAAGGAAAUGCGGCAAUUGUUUAGCACACAACUUCUAUCACCUAAUGCAUUAUCUCAAGUGAUAAAGAGUUUAAAACAACAAGGAAAGGGGUAAAUGCACUGGGGCUUGCCUUGUGUUGUAGGAGGCUCAGGGUCUAUCCCACAAAUGUCAAAAUAGAAGUUGUUCUCGAAAGGUGGAAUUUCAGCUUGCGGGGCAACUUCUUCUUCGACUACAACAUCUUUUUCGUUUUCUAUACAUAACAAUACAUAUACAUGAAUGCUCAUGUGAUGCUAUGGAUAUGCAAUUAUAAUAGAAACACACUAAGUUGUAUCUUGAAUACAACUUUCCUUCAUGGUACCCGCUAGUCACUAGAGUUUCCUAGGUUAGUACUCUAUUAAGGUUAGGCACUUAUAUCUUAGGAAGCUAGUAUCUUAGGUUUGAGACCAAACAAUGUCCAAAGCAUGCCAAACUUUACCCAAGGGCUUCAAUUAUCAAACUAAUCUUACCCAAAAAGUUUUAUGAUUUUUGGAGCUACCAAAAUAAUUCUAAAAUUCUAAAAGGCUAAGUUUAGACAUCUUUAAAUGCCAAAUAAAUUCAGGUUGGGACAAAAUAUCUUGGAACUAUUUUUAUUAAAUACUAGAUGAAUUUAGGAGUCUAGCAAAAUUAGUCCCAUAAUUUUACCAUUUUUCUAGAAUUUCCUAUAAAUUUUCAAGCAUGGCAGAAAAAGGAAAAGGAUGAAUAGUACUAGGCUGAAUUCAGCCCGACCGGCCCACGUCCAGGCAAACGCGCCCACGCGCGCCCGCACUAGCAAUCUUGCGCAGGGGCCCUCGGUCAUUUGAACAAACAGUAAAGAACCCUCAGCACUAUUUCUUCACCUGAUAAGUCCCUGGCGACGGCGCGCUCACCCGUCGGCCAUCUCCUUGCUGGGACCGGCCAUGAAUGGGGACGACUGACUAAACCAAGUGCUAGACUAGCGUCCUCGAUCCUAGGCGACCCUAAUCCGUCCCUUAAUUGAGCUAUCCCGACCCAGAGUUCUUCUGUCCACGACGAUGGUGAGACCCGAGGGUGAACCGAGGUGUUCCCCACGACUAGGGUUAGUAACGUCCAAAUUCUAUGUACGGGGAGCACCACUAUACCCUAAGGAAGCUAGAACAGACAACAAUUGGGUUGGAACUACCUCAGGCGAUGCUGGCCACAGAAGAGCUCUCCAUAGCGGCGAUGGCGACUGAAUUGGGGGGAAAUCCAAAUUCAGGCGCUGUGGUGGCUAAUCGGAGAUGAGGGUUGGUGCCCUUGCUUCGUAACAACCUAGUGGAGCUAGUUGUGCACUCAAUUUAUAGUAUCCGCGAGUAGUGGCUCCAAAUUUGGAAGAGGAAAGCUGGCGACGAAGAGAGGGGGUGAGUCACCGACGCGAGCUAUCGUGGCGUUCACAGGGGCAACGUUACAGGCGAUGGACAGGAUACCUACGGCGGUUUACUGUGACGUGGUAACGCUUCUAAGUACGUGGCGUCUAGGCAGCAAGCGACAGACUCCGGCGAGGCCAUCUUGGCCAUCUGUAGGGCAAGUGGGUACGGCGACCAACUCACGGCCUCAUCCACGGUCAAGAUCUUUUCACCAUCGGCCGUUAUCCACACCCAAAGCGCACGAAUCGCAGCACCGGCAAGGAUCGCGGUGCAUGCCCACCAGCGGCGAUGGGUUCACUGAAUCUGAUCUUGUUCAGUAACUGUACCAUCGUGUUCUUCAUCAGACGUUCUGACAGGGCGAAUUGGAGAGCUUUAUUCUCAAUUUUUCAUGUGACGACUUACUAAUCUGUUUGUAACAAAGAUAAUCUCCUAUAAUCCAGCUUUGAUUUUGUUACAGCAACCAUGAUAAAAAAUCCACUGGAUCAUACUCAAAAUUGCUAUCAAAGUUUGUCCCAGUUCACUGUCAGUUGAAAAUCAGCUUCAGGGUUGACUGACAGUCUGUCUUUAAGUCCAUUUAUCUCCAAUUUCUAUACAACACCAAUGCUUAGUCACUUAAUCAACCUUGUACCCCUAACAUAGCUCUACAAGUUUGAUGUAUUUACCUAGGGCAAAACCUUUAUGGAUUAAGAAAUACAAGGCCCCAAACUUGGCCUAAUUACACUGAAUUUUCAGAGUUAACCAUAUGGGUGCUCUUGGGCCUUUUUGCAAUUAAGUCCAAAUUUUUCCACAUCACUUGAAAAUCCUCCAAUAUCAAAGUUGUUUGGUUUUUGAAAUUCUACCACUUUUAUAUAUACACUUUGGUCCAAAAGUGUAUAGAAUUUGAAAUCACCAUAUAGGGCACAAAUUAGGGUUUCUAAGGUUCAAUUUAGGGUUAUGGGUGCUUUAGGGUUUUUAUGCCACUCAAAUCCAUCAAACUUAAUCUCUUGUGAACAUUUCCAAUAACUUUUGAGGUACUACUCAAUUUGACUUCACAUUUACCCAUAUGCCCUAAUCCCAGGGUUAAGUACCCUACCCUAGGGUUAAGAACACUUCAAGUUACCACAUCACACUUGUUUUGAUGUUUUACCUAGUGGAUGCAUUCUAGGUGUAACAAACAUAAUGACAUGUCAAUGCAUAUGAUGCCAUGCUCAAGUUUUAGUUCUAGUAACACCAGGGGUGUUACAUCCUUCCCCCCAUAAAAGAAUCUCGUCCCGAGAUUUAAGGUCCUAGGGUAAGUAAUGGAAAAGGAAACACAUCACAACUUUAUUUCCUUAUUUAUCUUACAGAGCAGGGGAUGGUGUGGGGCUUGUUCCAACUUUACAACAAGGUAUAUAAAUAUUUACAGGUUACAUGAAGCUAAAAACCUAGGAAAUUUUUCUCUAAGAAAUCUUGAGUUUCCCAGGUAGCUUCGUCUUCAGUAUGUUGGUUCCAUUGUACCUUAUAGAACUUAAGAGUCCUUUUUCGAGUGAUUCUAUCCUUUUGAUCCAGAACUCGAAUGGGAUGUUCCAAAUAAGUCGAGUCUUUUUCCAAAGUAACAUCCACCACCUCGAUGGUUCGAUCAGGAAUCCGAAGGCAUUUCUUCAAUUGGGAUACAUGGAACACAUUGUGUACCGUAGAUAAUGAUUCGGGCAGUUGAAGUCUGUGCACCACUAGUCUGCAUUGUUCAAGAAUGGGAAACAAGCCAAUAUAUCAGGGUGCCAACUUUCCUUUUACCCUGAAUCGGUUAACACCCUUCAUCGUUGAUACUUUCAGGUAUACAUGAUCCUUAAUUAAAAGACUAAAGGUCGGCGUCGCUUAUCCGCAUAGUUUUCUGCCGAGCUUGAGCUUCUUUCAAGUUGUGUCUUAUCCGUUGAACUUUUUCCUCCGUUUCUUUAACCAUGUCAGACUUGAAAAACCACCAUUCUCCCGGUUCUGACCAAUUUAAGGGUGUUCGACAUCGUCGCCCGUAUAGUGCUUCAAACGGUGCCAUCUUAAUACUUUCCUAGUAACUAUUAUUAUACGAAAAUUCUGCCAAUGGCAGUCAAUCAUCCCACUUCUGUGGAAAUUCCAGGACACAUGCUCGUAACAUAUCUUCAAGUAUCUGGUUUACCCUCUCAGUUUGCCCACUUGUCUGAGGAUGAUAAGCCGAACUGUGGAGUAAUUUAGUACCCAAGGAUUUGUGCAACUCCUCCCAAAACUUGGAUACAAAUUGUGGUCCCCGAUCCGACACUAUCGUCUUUGGGAUUCCAUGUCUCAGAAUACGAGCCACAUAUAUCGGAACUUAAGUAAUGACCGGGUAAUAUGUUUUGACCAGUAGAAAAUGAGCUACCUUUGUAAGCCGGUCAAUGAUGAACCAGAUAGAAUCAAAUACUUUAGCUAUCCUGGGUAAUCCCACAAUGAAAUCCAUACUAAUAUCUUCCCAUUUCCAGGUUGGGAUGGGCAAAGAUUGCAAUGAUCCAGCGACCUUCAUAUGUAUCGCUUUGACCCGUCUGCAAGUAUCAGACUUUGCCACAUAGUGUGCAAUUUCAAUCUUCAUUUUAGUCCACCAAUAAUGUUGCUUUAAGUCUUGAUACAUCUUAGUGCUUCCCGGAUGAACGAAAUAUCGACUAAGAUGAGCUUCGUCCAAGAUUUGUUGGCGGACUUCAUCAUCUUUUGGCACUACUAUGCGAUCUUUAAACCAUAUUACUUCCUAAUUAUCUUUCCUGGAGCAAUUUACCUUGUUGGCCUCCAUUUUCUCAUGAAUGUACUUCAUACUCUUAUCUGUUCUUAGGGCAUCAAUAAUUCUUUGUAGAAGAACUGACUCAAGCUUCAAAUUCAUCAAGGUUCCUUGUUGGAUUGUCCCCAGAUUCAACCUUUCCAUUUCUUGACAUAAAGUGGUGUCAUGUGCUCUUACUGUAAGACAAUGACAAAAAGUCUUGUGACUUAAAGCAUCUGCCACCACAUUAGCUUUGCCUGGGUGAUAAUGGAUUUCCAAGUCAUAAUCUUUGAUUAGCCCGAGCCACCUUCUGUUGGGGACUUGUUCUCAAAUGCUAUGAGUUAAGAACAAGGCAACACAAAACAUUAAUGGUCAAAGUCCUUCGUCCUUCGAGACAUUAUUUCCUUUAGGAUAUAAUGAUCUUCGGACGAAGGUUAUGAAGGACGUACCUUCAUCGUCAUAGUGUAUAUUAAUAGAAGUAGAAGCAUAUGAAACAUGAGAAAUAACAUGAAUAAUCAUAUGACAUCAUUUAUAUAUCUUUAUUAUAUCAUCAUGAAUAAACAUGAACAAUAUUGAAUUACAUUUGUACCUUCGACUUGACAGAAGGCAAAAGUCCAAGUGUGACGCACGAGUGAAUACAAGUCAGCGUGAACAGUACAGCAGUACUGUUCAUCUAUUUAUAGGCACAGGGCGCAGCCUGUGUAAAACUACAUUCAUGCCCUUCAUGUUUACUAUUGUCUUAAGGACAAUCUAUCGAGGACUAGAUAGCCUUUUCCUUUUUAAGUCGGUUCCUUUUUCUGCUACUGAGCCAACGCUUCAUUGCGUGUAGCUUCAGAGCUAGUUCAACCUUCAUCCCGACCAUGCUUUUCAUAUUGUGUACAGCUUCAUUCCGAGUCCGAAGGUUCCUAUACAUAUAUUACACUUGGGAAACAUUGUUAAUCAUGUUUUUGAGGACCUUCGGAAGACGAAGGCCCCCAACAGUAGCCCCUCGCAAUACUAAUUUGUUAUAACAACGAAUUUAGACUACGAUGUGAAUGAAGGCCUUAAGCCGAAGGUCCGAAAAACACCUUCCCUUUGCUAGAAUAGCAAUAGUCAAUGAUAAACGGGGUCCACCAAGUUGCAAAGCACUGGGCGUAUAAAUAUGAACCAUAGCGGCAACAUUUGAUACGCCUUUUUUGCCAUUUGCAUUAUUUUCUCAAACUUUUAGCUCUUGCUCAUUAGCUCUUGCCUGAUUUUUUAGUUUUUAGAGCUUCGGUUUUAAAGACACGUUUGCUCCAAAUUUGAAAAGAAGAAGAUGAGUGGAGAGAAGAAGAUGACUGAAGAGAAGAAAACGACAGGGGAGACGAAGUUGUAUGAAGAGAAAAAAGUUGCAGAUCCUUUCAUUGCUGGAUUUAUCGAGUCCAUGGCAAAAACAAAUACAGAGAAAAUUACUAAGGAGAUCAUGGAGGGUUUAUCCGAAGAUUCUGAUGACAGUGAUAGUUAUGACGUGGAAAGUGGGGAUGAAGACUCUGAGGAUCGGUCGUGGCGCCCAAGCCAUACUAUCUUCGCGACAUGUCUAUUUUCAGAGUUGGAGGAGAUAGCACUGCACCUACUCCGGAGGAAAACGAAGUUGUUGUUUACCGAAGCUUCUUGAAGGCAGGCCUUCGGUUCCCGCUGAGUAAAUUUGUGGUCAAAGUAUUAAAGAUAUUCCAAAUCUUUCUUCAUCAGAUUACCCCUGAAGCUAUAAUCGGGAUGGGGAUAUUUGUCUGAGCUAUAAGGAGCCAGAGGCUAGAGUCGAGCGCAAAGUGCAUCUACAGCAUGCAUGAGCUUUUAUAUGAGACAAAGGCUAUUGGCAAAGAACAAUACCACAACAACUUUGGUUGUUACGGGUUCAUUGCCCGUUCUAAUGCAAGCCACCCAGUGCGAACAUUCUGGAAAAGAUGGCUCGAGGCCUGAAUGGAAGAGUUGUUUUAUGUUAAAAAUGAUUUAAAGACAAGGGAAGAUAUCAAAGAAAUCAUUCAGCUUCCCAUUUGGUCUCGCUUCGGCCUCCGAAGGCCGAAGGUGGAAAUUGACGGCAAUGUUGAAGCAUGUCAGAAGGCCUUUAGCACUGUGUGUGCUUUCAUUGGCACGAGGGAUUUAAUUCAAGAGCAUAUAGCCUUCAGGGUAUGGCCACUUGUGGAGAGCUAGGAUAUGCCGAAGGAGACCACCGCCGAUUCCAGUGAGGGUGGUCUGGUCCGAUUGAAGUAUACCUUCAGAUUUAGGGAGAAGUUUGAUGAGCCAGACGAUUACUGACUGAAGUGUAUUGAAGCUACCAAUGAUGAGCUACUCGCGGCAUACUCCAAGGUCGAAUAUAAGGCUUUGUCCGCAACUUUCGGGGGUCGGGGCAAGAAAAGAUUGAACAGGGUAUUUGAUGCGAUUGGCUUCGUAUACCCUGAUUACCACUACCCGCUACGAGGGCAAGGGAAAAAGAGAAAGGUUGCCGCUUUGGCCACCCCAGCUGAGCCAAAGAGCAAAAAGGUGAAGGUUCUGACUCACCGGCCGCGUUAUAUUGAACCAGCCGUAGUACCUGGAUUUGGCGAAGGGACCUCUUCAGCUGCCGAAGCAAAACAAACUGCUCCGAUUGUGCAGAGCGCUGAAUAGCCGAAGGUGCCUAAAGUCGGGCCAGCUAAAGCUAAAGAUGAUAAGGCCGAAUACAGGUGGAAAAGUGAUAAAAGUGCCAGAAAUCCUGAGCCCACCGGCAGAGGCAGAUUUGCCAAAGAUGCAAAAAGCUCCUGUAGCAACUCCCAAGAGGAGGAAGAUGGCCAGCGUGCUAGACGUUGUUAUAGAGACCACGAAGGCCUUAACUCCUGCUCCUACCAAAAAUACUACCGAAGCUGCCAAAAUCCAAGUCGAAGCCAAAGCUGGGCCUUCAGCGCCUACUGAGACGAAGGCCAUCGAGCCUGAAGAUAAGGUGGGUCAGCAAAUUUCAGAUACCAGCAAGACGACACAGCAAGAUAUGGCAGAAAAAGCAAAUUCUCCUAUCGCCGAAGCCUUAGCUGAAGAUAUUGAUUACAUUGUUCGACACGUUUCGGGGAAAAAAUUAUUUGAAGAAGAAAUCUUGGAGGCCAAACACUAUGCCCAAAGACUGAAAUAUCCGAAGGGGGCCUUAGUGUUCAAUGGUAGUAACGAAGAUGAUUUCCUGUACUGUCUCCCGGAUAACAAAGAAAUAUCCGUUUGCCGGGAGAUAGCUAAGAGUAUGGGAUUUCCUAAGCUUGAAGAAGGCUUUUCGGUCUUAUCGAAGGAUGAUCUUGCUGAUAGCCUCGCGUACAAUAGUAUAAAGGUAUAGGGGUUAACUUUGAAGCUAGAAAAUGAAGUAUUUUAUUGCCAUGCUCAACUCUUUAUUCUUCUUUUGCAGGGCUUAAUUCUAAGUAAUGCCUUGAGGGCUCAGAAGAGCGCCGAGGACAAAGGCUGUACAAUGGCUCUUAACAACCUUCGUUCUGAAAUGAUUGAACUGAGAAACGAAGGUCUGGAGAAAGACAAAAUUUUGAUUUCAUUGGUGAACAAAGCAAAGGAAGACGAAGCUAAUUACAAAGCUCAGGCCAAAGCCCAGAAAACCGAAAUUGAAGACCUUCGGAGACAACUAGUCGAAGCUAAAGAGAACUGCGCGCUCGCACAGGCUAAUCAAGAGAUCAGUGAAUACUGGAAAAAUAAGCUAGAGAAAAAUGUUGAAGAACUUCGUGAAUCCAAGGAAAGGUGCUUUGAGAAAUCCUUGAAUUGUGUGAAGAAAUUAAAAACUAGAUUCGCCAAAGUGGGCGCCUACUCUGCUGAAGAAAACUUCAUACGAGGCGACCCCGAGGGCGUCGUUGAAUGGAUAAGUGGAGAAGCCGAAGCCUUCAAAGAAAUUUUGAGUGAUCGCAGGGAUAUUUGCACAUUUUCCGGUGCGUGGGGAAUCUCAGCUAUUCUAGAGAAGGCCGGAUGUGAUCACGUUAAGGCCAUAGCCCAGGCCGAAGCUGCCUUCUCCAUAGAUGAUAUGAAGGAUCCUUUAGCCGAAGCAACUUUAAUGGCCGGGAAAUUUUAUAACGAUGUCUGGGUGAACGGUGGCCGAGAGCUGGCCCACGAAAUUAUAAAAAAGAGUGAAAAAGACACCCAUGAUGCCCGGGCAGAAGCAAAGCAAGCUGAAGAAGCUACAGAACGCGAAAGGCGUAUAGGUAUUAUUUCUUGAUUAUUUUAGCUUCGGUACUUGCUUUGUGGCUUCGAACUAAUCUAUUUACCUACUUCAGUUGAACUAUCCCCGCCUCCGGGGCCGUACGAUCCCCUUGCUGAUCUAGAAAUGAAGGAAGCAUUGGAAAUUAUAAGCAUGGCAGACUCCAUUAUCGACAAAGUCAUCGACAAACUCUUGAACGAAGUUGCAGAAAAAGUCCUUAGAGAGGAAUAGAUUUUAUUGUAAUAAUAUUUUGAAAUGCUGGAAUGUAUGGAACAAUUGAAGGAAGAUUAGGCUUCUAUUAUAAUAAAACUAUGUGACAUUUGAUGUAUGUAACAUUGAAUCGAGUAUGUAAAUUAUUGUAAUUUAUUACUUUGCGAUGCAUGAAAUUUACACACAUACCGUUUUUGAGCCUUCGGCGAAAAAACACAUUCCCUUCUUUUCAUGCUUCGUAAAGAAAGAGAUCCCUUCUUAUGACAAGGCUGAUAAAACUGUACUUCUCGAAGCUUACUUCGUGCCUUAGCACAUUUUCAAUUUGAUGAAGCAUUCGCCGAAGAUUGGCUUCGUAUUCGAUUGUUGUGCCGGUAAUGCAAUAUGAUGUAUGAUGUAAUGUUAUGCGAAAUGAUGUGAUGAUACGAUGCAAAAUGAUGAGGAUGCCGAAGACACACACCCACACGCCCACACUAGAAUACACAAGCUCUACAUCCCCUUAGGAAUGACUUUUGAGCUUCUUCACCUUCUAUUUCGGUGAUAUAAGUUCUGCAUUCCCUUAAGAACGUCUUUUGAACUUCUUCCCCUUCCAUUUCGGCAGUAUAAGUUAUGCAUCCCCUUAGGAACGACUUUUGAACUUCUUCGCCUUAUAUUUUGGCGGUAUUUGGCUCUGUGUUCCCUUUGGAACGACUUUUGAGCAGAAAACUUACAUUGUGCUCCCUUAGGAAUGACUUUUGUAGCUUCGUCAAUUUUGGCUCUGCAUUCCCUUAGGAACGACUUCAGAGCAAAACACUUACCCUGCGCUCCCUUAGGAAUGACUUUUGUAGCUUAGUUUAUGUUGGCUCUGCAUUCCCUUAGGAACGACUUUUGAGCUUCGUAAAUCUGUGAAGAAGAUAUAUUUCAUUUUGGUACAGGCAGAAUCAUUACGAGAAAUUAAAACUAAGUUUUCAUUGCUUGUUCCUCAUAUAUAAAGCAAAAUGGCAUAAAAAGUAAAAGUAUUUCAGAAGUAGGAUAUUGCUCAGUAAAUGUGCUUUGAUUCUGGUAUGGUGCUAUUGACCGUACGAGCUUCGGACUCCUCCCUGAAGUCACGUUGUUGUUGUGGGUGUUGGCGCCCUUCUGGCUGCUGGCUUCGAGUAUAUGUAGGUUGAUGAGGACAUCACUAUGAGUACGACUACACCAGGAGCACCUCCACAUCAAGCGCCACUUCCUUCAUUAGGUGGGCCAAUCACUCGGGCCCGUGCCAGAGAUCUUAACUUCGUCAUGCUACUGAAGAAUGAGGGCCCAGAAGAAUAGACAACCAGCCCAACUGCGGCCCAUAGUGGACGACCUAGGGUUUGCCGCCCCUAGGGGCUGCGCCCCCUCUAUUUAUCCAGGAGCUGCGUCUCCUUUAUUUUCGAGUUUUGUUUUACGUUAGCCUUAGCUACUCUCGAACACGCGCAAAUCUGCGCUGUCUUCGUGUAUUCAGAACUCCACCCUCGAGUAAUAGAUUAGAUUGCUCGCAUCUUUUUCUUGUUCGUUCUUCGAUUGCGCACAGGAAACGAUCUUCGUGAUCAGGCCGAUCUCGCAUCAGCAAGGUCGGUAACCACAUGGAGUUGGUUCAGUGAUUGCAUUGGCGCCUCGGGCUUGCUCGUCGUAGUCGGAUCGCAAGGGUCAUCUUCCGCCAAAUCGGAAUUAUCUCUACUCGCCGAAAGAUCAGGCACCUCAGCUACAUCAAUUGGUAUCAGAUUUCCAGGUUGAUCGGUGAGUUUAUCGAGCAUUUUUUUUCCUACAGUCCACAAAACCAUAUAAAAAUUCAGGUUAGAUCUUAUCCCAGCACCCUUUUGAGCCUCGCACUUUCUUUCAAUAAUCUGCAUUGUUGAAUUUGUGUGCUUUCGCGUCAUUUGUUGCUGGUUGCAUUGUGUUCUUCCACCAUUCAAACCCUAGCGCCGCCACCAUCUCCCGUUUGAUCACGCCACAAACCGAGUCAACAUUGUUUUCUUGUUUUUCUCCUUCGGUUACGUCAAAAAAAAAAGAAAAAAACAAACCGAGUCAACGGCCGUUUCCUUGAUUUUCUCCUUCGGUUACGAAAAAAACAGAAAAAAAACAAACCGAGUCAACAACCGCUUCCUUAUUUUUCUCCUUCGGUUACAUAAAAAAAACAGAAACAAAAAAAAAAGAAAACGAAGGAGAAAGGAUAUGGUUGUUUCAUCCCGGUCGUUUUUAAAACACAACUUGAGGAACCUUCCGUAAACCGGGCAUAACUUUUCGCUCGGGUGUCCAAAAAAUCUGAAAUUUUUACAGGAGCUUGUUGACACCAUUCUGAGGCCGGCCAAACUGACCUAUAGUCUGUUUGGGGUUCGACAAAAUUGUCAAAAAAAUUCAGGAAAAUAAAGAAAAAAAUCCGUCAAAGUUCUCGCACGUUUUUCAGAGAACUUCCUGAUUUUCUAUAGACCACAUCUGAUAUCUGUUUUAGGUGAAACUUCGUGUAGCUCCUAUCUUGUUGCUUCUUAUGCUGAGAAAAAUAUCAAAAAAAUCAUACAAAAAAGAAAAACAAAAUCACCUGUGAUUUCUACUAGUGCCUUUUUUCCAUCACUAGUACAAUAUUUACGGUACUGCCAUUCUGCUAGUUCCAUCCAUCCUUUGCACCUGUGGCCAGCAAUAUAGUUUCGUGUUUUGCACUAUAAUUCAACUUUGCAUUAUUGUUUGAUCGUGCUAAUCCUUGACUUGAGUGCAGCCUACCCACAACUCCACAUAUUUCUACGACGAGCAGGUUUCUGUUUCUCCACGCAAUCGCUCAUCCAAUCUUUCACCGAUUCCACCUGUUGAUUGCAGUUCACCACUGUGGCUUGGUAAGAACGGAUAAGAACUUGAUAACAGCACUAGUGUGAGCGCCUUGUGAGCAGUACACCCCUGUUUUUGUCGUUGGUUUUUCUCCUUUUGGUGUUUUGGUGUUUGCACUAACUAUGGCAGGAGCACACGACAUGGUGGAUGCCCAGUUGCAGGAAGUAAGGGGACAAGUUGAUGGACUUGCUGCUGACAUUAGGAUGAUGCAUGAACGGCUUGAUUCAACGAUCACUUCGACGACCGAGCGUUUCAACCAACUUGACCUUGCUCAAACGGCGACUCGCACCACACUCAACACCAUCCUGGCACGCCUUGAUGCAUUGACCACAAAGAUGGAGCAGGAAUACGGCGGUGACACUGAGCAGGACGAUGGAGAUCGCCGUGGUCGUGCACGUCGUGUGGUUCGUCAUCCCCCUAAUGACUUAUUUUCUAAGAUUAAAUUUAAAAUUCCAUCUUUUAAUGGUAAAUAUGAUCCUGCUGCAUAUCUUGAUUGGGAAUUAGAGGUAGAACAGAAAUUUUCAUGCCAUAAUAUUCCUGCUAAUAGCCAAGUGAAGGCUGCCAUUAGUGAAUUUACUGAUUUUGCUUUAAUUUGGUGGCGUGAGUAUAAACAAAAACUUUCCAUUAACAGUGUCAUUACUUGGACCCAAUUAAAAACUGCCAUGCGCCACAGAUUUGUUCCUUCCUAUUAUGCUCGUGAUUUGCUUAACAAAAUGCAGCGUUUUCAACAAGGUUCACAGUCUGUUGAGGAAUAUUACCAGGAGUUACAAAAGGGUAUGCUUCGUUGUGGUUUAGUUGAGUCGGAUGACGCUGCUAUGGCGCGUUUUCGUGGUGGUUUGAACAGGGAAAUUCAGGAUAUACUUGAUUAUAAGGAUUAUUUUGAUAUAACCACAUUGUUUGAAUAUGCUUGCAAAGCUGAACGUGAAGUGCAGGGACGACGAUCAAAGACAUAUACUAACUCUCUUGCAGGCCGGGGUCCAACACAUAGCUCAACUCCUUCUAGCCCUGCACCUUCUACGCCUAGCACUACAUCGCGCACAGGGACGACCAAGCCAGUGGCGCCCCCUGCCAAAGGCGCCGCUUCUUCCACAGGACGUACACGGGAUAUUCAGUGCCAUCGUUGCAGAGGGUUUGGGCAUAUGAUUCGGGACUGCCCAAACAAGCGUACCUUGCUUAUCCGUGACAAUGGUGAGUACUCGUCAGCCAGUGAUUCUGAGGAAACUAGUCAUGCUAUGAUUGCCACUAACCAUGCAGAAAAUGAGGAAGUCCACGUUGAUCCCAUCGACGCCGAUAGGUAUGAGAGUCUUGUUGUGCAGCGUGUUCUCAGCACACAGGUUGCCCAGGCCGAAAAAAUCAGCGACACACUCUAUUCCAUACCAAGGGCGUCGUGCACGAACGGUCGAUUCACAUCAUCAUCGAUAUUGGCAGCUGCAACAAUUUGGCAAGUACAGCGUUGGUAGAGAAAUUAUCCUUGCCCACUCGCACACAUCCACAUCCGUAUCACAUUCAAUGGCUUAAUGAUGGUGGUAAAAUAAAGGUAACACGUUCGGUACGUGUCCCCUUUUCGCUGGGUUCUUAUUCUGAUUAUGCUGAUUGCGAUAUUAUUCCUAUGGAAGCGUGCUCUUUGUUAUUGGGUCGACCUUGGCAAUAUGAUACUGAUAGUUUACAUCAUGGUCGUUCAAAUCAUUAUUCUUUCAUGUUUAAAGGCCAGAAAAUAAUUAUACAUCCAAUGACCCCUGACCAAAUUUUGAAAGAUGAUCUUACUAGGGCUGCUAAAACUGCACAAGUCAAAUCGACAUCAGCCGCACCUAUUAAAUCUGAAAUCAAGUUGUACUCUCCUGUUUUACUUGCUACACGUGCUGAUUUUGAUGAUCUCCAUGAAGCUCAUAUGCCCUGUUAUGCACUUGUAUGCUCACGCAUGCUUGUUCCGCUUGAUGAUGCACCGUCUUUGGAUAUACCCCCUGCUGUUGUUAACCUUUUGCAGGAGUAUGCUGAUGUUUAUCCUACGGACUUACCACCGGGUCUUCCUCCACUCCGUGGCAUUGAGCAUCAGAUCGAUCUCAUCCCCGGCGCUUCUCUUCCGAACCGCGCCCCGUACCGUACAAAUCCAGAGGAGACGAAGGAGAUCCAGCGCCAGGUGCAGACGCUACUUGAUAAGGGUUACAUUCGUGAGUCUCUUAGCCCUUUCUCGGUUCCUGUUUUAUUCGUUCCAAAGAAAGAUGGGUCAUGGCGUAUGUGCGUAGAUUGUCGUGCUAUUAAUAACAUCACAGUUCGUUAUCGAUAUCCUAUUCCACGCCUUGAUGAUAUGUUAGAUGAGCUUAGUGGUGCCGUUAUUUUCUCUAAGGUUGAUUUGCGUAGCGGUUACCAUCAGAUUAGAAUGAAACUCGGUGAUGAAUGGAAAACGGCUUUUAAAACGAAAUUUGGUUUAUAUGAAUGGUUGGUUAUGCCAUUUGGAUUGACUAAUGCUCCCAGCACCUUUAUGCGUUUAAUGAACGAAGUUCUACGGGCCUUCGUAGGUUUGUUUGUUGUUGUUUAUUUCGAUGAUAUCCUUAUUUACAGCAAGUCUAUAGAGGAGCAUUUAGAACAUUUGCGUGCUGUUUUUGAUGCUUUGCGUGCUGCUCGCUUGUUUGGUAACAUGGAAAAGUGCACAUUUUGCAUGCAACGUGUCUCGUUUCUUGGUUAUGUGGUUACUCCGCAGGGCAUUGAGGUGGACAGCAGCAAGAUUGCUGCCAUUCGGGAGUGGCCUACACCGACGACGGUCACACAAAUUCGGAGCUUUCUUGGACUUGCCGGUUUCUACCGCAGAUUUGUUCGUGAUUUUAGCUCCAUUGCAGCGCCUCUACAUGAGCUUACAAAGAAAGAUGUGCCGUUUUCUUGGAGUGAUUCGCAGGAGGUAGCGUUCAGCACUUUGAAAGAUAAGUUAACCCAAGCUCCCCUCUUGCAAUUGCCUGAUUUUAAUAAAGUUUUUGAGCUUGAAUGCGAUGCUAGCGGUAUUGGGCUAGGUGCUGUUUUGUUACAAGAAGGAAAACCAGUUGCAUAUUUUAGUGAAAAAUUAAGCGGUGCUAGUCUGAAAUAUUCUACUUAUGAUAAGGAGCUUUACGCUUUAGUGCGCACUUUGCAUACAUGGCAGCACUAUCUUUGGCAUCGUGAGUUCAUAAUUCAUUCUGAUCAUGAGGCUUUAAAACAUAUUCGUACCCAAACAAAUCUGAACCGUCAUCAUGCUAAAUGGGUCGAAUUUAUUGAGUCCUUUCCUUACAUUAUUAAACACAAGAACGGGAAGGACAAUGUUAUUGCUGAUGCUUUGUCUCGUCGCUAUACCAUGCUGUCACAAUUAGAUUUUAAAAUCUUUGGUUUGGACACUGUGAAGGAUCAAUAUUUCGACGAUGCUGAUUUUAAAGAUGUUUUCGGCCAUUGUAUUAAUGGGAUACCAUGGGGCAAAUUUCACAUACAGGAUGGGUUCCUGUUUCGCGCUAACAAGCUGUGUGUUCCAGCUAGUUCGGUUCGUCUUUUGUUGUUACAGGAGGCGCAUGGAGGCGGUCUCAUGGGGCAUUUUGGCGUCUACAAAACGCAUGAGGUGUUGGCUGCCCACUUCUUUUGGCCUCGGAUGCGCGCUGAUGUUGAGCGCCUUGUUGCACGCUGCACUACUUGUCAGAAAGCUAAGUCACGGUUGAACAACCAUGGUUUGUAUAUGCCUUUGCCUGUCCCUUCUCCUUGGCUUGAUAUCUCUAUGGACUUUGUUUUGGGCUUGCCUAGAACUAAGAAGGGGAGGGAUAGUAUUUUUGUGGUUGUUGAUAGAUUCUCUAAAAUGGCUCACUUUAUACCUUGUCAUAAAACAGAUGAUGCUAGCAUUGUUGCUGAAUUGUUCUUUAGAGAAAUUAUUCGUUUACAUGGUAUUCCAAAAACAAUAGUCUCUGAUCGCGAUGCUAAGUUUCUAAGCCAUUUUUGGAGAUCUCUUUGGAAUAAAUUGGGAACUAAAUUGUUGUUUAGCACUACUUGUCACCCUCAGACUGAUGGACAAACUGAGGUAGUAAAUAGAACUUUAUCUACCAUGCUUAGGGUUGUUUUAGACAAGAAUUUGAGACGUUGGGAGGAUUGCUUGCCUCAUGUUGAAUUUGCUUACAAUCAUGCCACGCAUUCUUCUACAAAGAUGUGCCCUUUCCAGAUUGUUUAUGGUUACAUUCCUAGGGCACCUAUUGAUUUGAUUUCACUUAAUGCUGCGAACGCCCCACAUGUAGAUGCUUCUGCACAUGUUGAACAAAUGAUUACCAUACAUGAACAAACGAAACAGAACAUUGCUGCUACUAAUGCAAAAAACCAGGUUGCUGGUAGUAAAGGAAGAAAACAUGUUACUUUUGAGCCAGGUGAUAUGGUUUGGUUGCACUUGAGAAAGGAUCGGUUUCCUACUUUGCGCCGUUCUAAAUUAAUGCCUCGUGCUGCUGGUCCUUUUAAGGUGCUAACAAAGAUUAAUGAUAAUGCUUAUAUCCUUGACCUGCCUGCGGAAUUUGGUGUUUCCACUAGUUUUAAUGUUGCAGAUUUGAAACCAUAUAUGGCCGAGGAUGAGGAGUUGUCGUCGAGGACGACUUCACUUCAAGAAGGGGAGGAUGAUGAGGACAUCACUAUGAGUACGACUACACCAGCAGCACCUCCACAUCAAGCGCCACUUCCUUCAUUAGCUGGGCCAAUCACUCGGCCCGUGCCAGAGAUCUUAACUUCGUCAUGCUACUGAAGAAUGAGGGCCCAGAAGAAUAGACAACCAGCCCAAUUGCGGCCCAUAGUGGACGACCUAGGGUUUGCCGCCCCUAGAGGCUGCGCCCCCUCUAUUUAUCCAGGAGCUGCGUCUCCUUUAUUUUCGAGUUUUGUUUUACGUUAGCCUUAGCUACUCUCGAACACGCGCAAAUCUGCGAUGUCUUCGUGUAUUCAGAACUCCACCCUCGAGUAAUAGAUUAGAUUGCUCGCAUCUUUUUCUUGUUCGUUCUUCGAUUGCGCACAGGAAACGAUCUUCGUGAUCAGGCCGAUCUCGCAUCAGCAAGGUCGGUAACCACAGGGAGUUGGUUCAACGAUUGCAUUGGCGCCUCGGGCUUGCUCGUCGUAGUCGGAUCGCAAGGGUCAUCUUCCGCCAAAUCGGAAUUAUCUCUACUCGCCGAAAGAUCAGGCACCUCAGCUACAUCAUAGGUUGCACUCGAGGUGGCGGUGUGAGCUGAGGCCAGGAAGCUCGUGAAUGGCUUGCUGAAGCAACAGAGGCUGCAGGUUGAUUGCCCACAUAUUUUGGUAUGUAGGGAGAGUGGCACGAAGCAGUAUGUAGGACCUGCUUCGGCUGAUUCUGUCGGGCUUCUGCUUCGGCAAUCUCUUUUUGCUUCUGAAUGGUGAUUUGACACAUUCUUGUAGUGUGGUCCUUGUCUUCGCUACAGAAUAAGCAAUAGAUUUUCCAUGGCUGAUCCCCAUAUCUUCCUCCGAAGCCCCUGCCGCCUUGGACCCUUGAAGCUGGUGGCCUGAAGGAGCUUUGCUGUUGUCCUGAAGACUAUGAGCUGUGUUGUGGCCUCUAAAACUGGCCUCCUUUGUCAUCGUUCUGACUGGAGCUAUGGAUUGAUCUGACAUGCCUAGGGUGGAUUCUUCCUCCGAAGCCCUAGUCAUCUCAGAAAAUCUGUAAGCUUCCUCCCUUCUUUGGCGGAAGUCAUUGUCAUCACGGAUGUACUCAUUCAUUUUCUGAAGCAGCUUCUCCAGAGUCUGGGGGUUUCCUGGUGAAGUAUUGGGUCGUAGGCCUUGGCCGAAGACCUUUGAUCAUGGCCUCAAUGACGAUUUCAUUGGGCACCGUAGGCGCUUGUGCUCUCAGGCGCAAGAACCUUCGUACAUAUGCCUAAAGGUACUCCUCAUGGUCUUGAGUGCACUGGAACAAGGCCUGAGCCGUGACUGGCUUCGUCUGAAAACCUUGAAAACUAGUGACCAGCAUGUCCUUAAGCUUCUGCCAUGACGUGAUUGUCCCUGGCCGGAGAGAAGAGUACCAUGUCUGGACCAAACUUCGAACUGCCAUGACGAAGGACUUCGCCAUGACUGCGGUAUUGCCCCCAUACGAAGAUAUAGUUGCUUUGUAGCUCAUCAGAAACUGCUUCGGAUCUGAGUGCCCAUCAUACAUGGGGAGCUGAGGUGGCUUGUAUGAUGGCGCCAUGGGGUAGCCUGCAGUUCUGCUGAUAGAGGAGAAGCAUCAUCAAAAGCAAAAUUUCCAUGAUGGAAAUCGUUAUACCAAUCAUAUCAUUGUAAGAAUUGUCCUGACGAAGCUCUCUUUGUGGAGGUCUUCGGUCCUGGUCAUCUUGAGUAAGAUGACGUAUUUCUUCAGCAGCUUCAUCGAUCUUCUACUGUAGAUUGGAAAGACGUAGCAUCUUCUCUCUCUUCCUUUCGACCUGCUGAUGGAUAGCUUCGAGAUCCCUUAUCUCCUGGUCCAGCUUCUCCUCCUGGGGUGUUGGACUUGUAGCCUUCCUCUUUUGAGUUCGAGCUUCGCGCAGUGUGUCCUGGUUGACGUCCAGUGGCUGAAGUGCAGCCCCUAGCCCUGAAGAAGUUUUCUUAGGCGCCAUGCCUAAGGUCACGACUUGCCGAAGGUGGUCGAUUGAGUUCACAGGAGGUGGGCGCCAAUGUCGGGGACUUGUUCUCAAAUGCUAUGAGUGAAGAACAAGGCAACACAAAACAUUAAUGGUCAAAGUCCUUCGUCCUUCGAGACAUUAUUUCCUUUAGGAUAUAAUGAUCUUUGGACGAAGGUUAUGAAGGACGUACCUUCAUCGUCAUAGUGUAUAUUAAUAGAAGUAGAAGCAUAUGAAACAUGAGAAAUAAUAUGAAUAAUCAUAUGACAUCAUUUAUAUAUCUUUAAUAUAUCAUCAUGAAUAAACAUGAACAAUAUUGAAUUAAAUUUGUACCUUCGGCUUGACAGAAGGCAAAAGUCCAAGUGUGACGCACGAGUGAAUACAAGUCAGCGUGAACAGUACGGGGGUACUGUUCAUCUAUUUAUAGGCACAGGGCGCAGCCUGUGUAAAAUUAUAUUCAUGCCCUUCAUGUUUACUAUUGUCUUAAGGACAAUCUAUCGAGGACUAGAUAACCUUUUCCUUUUUAAGUUGGUUCCUUUUUCUGCUACUGAGUCAAAGCUUCCUUGCACGUAGCUUCGGAGCUGGUUCAACCUUCAUCCCGACCAUGCUUUUCAUAUUGUGUACAGCUUCAUUCUGAGUCCAAAGGUUCCUGUACAUAUAUUACACUUGGGAAACAUUGUUAAUCAUGUUUUUGAGUACCUUCGGAAGACGAAGGCCCCCAACACCUUCUUUGUCUCAUGUUUAGUUCUGACUGGGUAUAGAUAUAUUUCAAACUUUUGUGAUCCAUGUACAAAUGACAUAUAUUCCCCAGCAGAUAAUGACGCCAAAUCUUAAGGGCAUGGACCACUGCAGCUAGUUCUAGAUCAUGAGUUGGAUAAUGUUCUUCAUGCCGGCGCAGCUGCCUUAAAGCAUAGACUAUUACUCGUCCUUCUUGCAUUAGGACACAUCCAAGUUCACUGCCUGACGCGUCACAAUACACAUCAAAAGGCUUUUCAAUAUCCAGUUGGACCAAAAUCGGUGCAGUGGUUAACAACACUAUCAGCUGCUCAAAUGCUUCGUUGCAUUUUGAGAACCAAUCAAACUUAGUAUCAUUCUUCAAUAACCCCGUAAUGGGUUUAACAAUCUUGGAGAAAUGUGGAAUGAACCUGCGGUAAUAACCAGCCAGUCCAAGAAAACUUCGAACUUGAUGUACUGUAGUGGGUGAGUUCCACUCUAGAAUAUCAUUGACUUUGUUGGGAUCAACCGCAAUCCUUUUAGCGGACAAUACAUGUCCAAGAAACUGUAACACCUCAAAAUCCCAAUUUUGGGUUUAGUGCAACAUAAAAAAAUAAAUUAAAGUGUCAUCUGAUGAAAGGAUUAAGUCUUGACCCUUUCUAAAAAAAUUAUAAUCAUGAAUAAAUGGGUAAUAUAACGAGUUUGGUAGUUCAAAAUUUGGAUCCAGAUUUGAAACUUAAAUUUAAGCUGAAACUCGAAAAAAUGAAUAUAAAGACUUUCAAUUUAUUAGAGUGGAUUAUUCUUCAUGAACUAUAUAAUUAGAAACACUCUCUAAAAUAUUUGAGUUAAAGUAUUUUUUUUGAUAAAGAUGGUACAUUACUUUCUCCUAAAAAAUAAGAAGGUAACGAAUAUUCAUUUUGAGCUAACUUUUAAUUUGUAUACACAUUCAAAAAUAAUAUUUUUAUAAAAUAAAUAAUGUGUGAAUUAUUCUCUUAUGAGUCAUGCAUAUAGAAGCAUUUGUUUAGGCGAAUAAAUCAAUAAAUAAAAAAAAUCUUGCAUCAUGCAUGUUGGAUUUUUGUUGUACGUUUAAAUCAAAGGUAGAGAUUCAAACUCAGUUUUAAAUUUGAAUUAAAAUAUACAGAUUUGAAAAUAAACGAAAGGAAAACUAGAAAAGAAAAUUGAAAAAAAAGAGGAAACGUUACCUGCUUAUGAGGCGUUUGGUUUGAUGAAUCACUCUAUCCAAAAUGAAGUGGUGUAUCAUGGGGAUUCCUCAAAUUUGAUGGGAUGACUCCAUUCCACAUAUUAGUAUUAAACAACUAACUAUGAGAAAUGAGGUGGUGAUGGAUUAACUUACUUUAUUUCACAAACCAAACAAAAAAGUGAAGAGUGAGAGGAUGAUGGACUAUAUCAUUUCUCAAACCACAAACACUCCAUUAGUGGACCAACACGUUCAUCCCAUUUCCAUUUCCUUGGCACAAACCACGUUCCUUUUCUUUUGUUUUGUUUAUUUCCCAGCCGCAAUCUGCGUCAGGCUGAUGGCAAGAUGUGGGUAGAACCUGAAUUCAACGCACGCUCGAUUUGUUACUCGUACGCGGGAUCCAUACGUAGAUCCAUCCUCCCCAGUUUGUUACGAGCGCGGGCUCCGUGGGGCAGGUUGUUACAACCACUUGCCGUAAUCCUCGCCUCUGCUCGCCCUACAAAGCGUCGGCCCCUGGUGUUGCCAUCUCGACUGACUAGCAGAACGCAAGAAUCCAUCGGGCGUACGCCACUGGGUCUCACAGCCGACGGGAGCAAAUUAGGUGGUGGUGCCGGUGCGGAUGGUUGCCGGGAGCGGUGCGUCCCCGCGCGUGGUCGCCAUCGUCCAACGGGGCUCGCUGCGCGAAUCACUAGCAUCCGGCCGAGCCAUGGUCCAGAGCCACCACAUGGUGAAGAAAUAGGGCAUCGGAGUACUGCGCCUUGCCGAGACCCCCGCACCGCGGCCGGUCAAUCCUGCCUCCAUCGACGGUGAGAACUUCUCCCUCUCCCAAGCCGCGGGUGUCGAUGUGCUGCUUCCCACUGUUACGGCGUCGAGUACGUAUAGGAGGAGAUGAGGGCUGCUACAUACGGAAGAAGACACGUGGGAACCGUAGAUCCUGAAAUCAAGGGCAGAGAUUUGAUCCUAGGUGAACCGUCCGAUGGGAUUUGUGGGCCUUGGCUGCUCUCCACGGCGAUUAAAUCCGGGCGGUUGAACUAGGAUCCUAGGGCCAGGAAUGCAUACCGUUUCGCGGGUGCACAUAUCUAAUCUAGCGCAUCCGUCUCUGAUCGGACGGCCAUAUCUAGCCGAUACCGCUUCAGAGGGAUUAAUUUCUAAAUACACGCCGAGAGAAAUAGAAAUCAACCCGUAGUCCAUCUCGGGUUACACUGAGUCUAAGGAAUUUUUGUAGAUCAGUCCCUGCGCUUUACUGGAUUUGGCGCACAGUCCAUACAGAUUGUAAAACAAAGAAAUUCAUUUAGAAAUUGAUUUUUAGUACAAAAAUAAUUUCAGAAACUUGUAUAAUUCAUAUUUAAUUCAUUUUAAUUCCUUUUGACCCAUUUCAAUUCCUAUAAUUUUGUAUUAAUAUUGUUUAUCACCUAAUGACUCUGUUUUAUCAUGAAAACUACAUUAAAUUUGAUCACUUAAUUAUUUCCGUACUAAACACAUAAAAGCUUUGGAAAUUCAUAACUUAUUCGUUUUAAUUCCGAUUUGACUCGUUCCAGUUGCGUUAGCUUCGUAUAAAUAUUUACUACGCAGUAACAACAUUAAGUAUACCAUAUCGCAUACUUUUAUAUUGAUUUAUCCUAUAUCUACUAGAUUACCUCUUCUAAAUCAAAUUUAACCUGUCCAUAAUUAUAAUAUGAUUAAAAUAUGAUCUCUAGUCAAGUUAUAAUUGAAACUAAUGUUGAGUUAAUUAUUUAUACAAUAACCUCUCGUAUGGUUUAUACUAGAUGUUGGGGACUUGUUCUCAAAUGCUAUGAAUUAAGAAUAAGGCAACACAAGAUGUUAAAUGUUAAUGCCCUUCGUCCAUCGAAUCAUUAUAUCACUUAGGAUAUAAUGAUCUUCAGACAAAGGUCAUGAAGGACAUACCUUUAUCAUUACAGUAUAUGUUAAAUAAAAGAAGAAACAUAUGUCAUAUGGGAAACAACAUAAACAAUUAUAUCAUAUUUUUCAUUCUCUAUUAUGUAAACAUGGAUAGACAGAAACAAUAUUGAAUUACAAAAGUACCUUCGGCUUGAUAGAAGGCAAGAAAAUACAAGUGUGACGCAAAAGCGAAUACAAGUCAGCGUGAAUAGUACGGGAGUAUUGUUCAUCUAUUUAUAGGCACAGGACGCAGCCUGUGUGAAAUUACAUUCAUGUCCUUCAUAUUCACUAUUGACUUAAGAACAAACUAUUGAGGACUAGAUAGCUUUUUCCUCCUUAAGUCGGUUCCUCUUUCUAUUACUGAGCCGAAGCUUUCUUGCGCGCACCUUCGGCAUUGGUUCAAUCCUUCGUUCUAAUCCUGCUUUCCAUUCCGUAUAUGCUUUUAACCCGAGGCUGAAGGUACCUCAUAUGUUACACUUGGAAAACAUUGUUAAAUCAUAUUUUUGAGGACCUUCGGAGGAUGAAGGCCCCCAACAGUAGCCCCUCGCGGUAUUAAUUUGUUUAAGAUAACGAAUUCAGACUACGACCUGGACGAAGGCCUUAAGCCGAAGGUCCAAAAAACACUUUCCUUUUGCUAGAAUAGCAACAGUCAAUGACUGACGGGACCCUCCAACUCGGGGCGCGCCGAUCGUAUAAAUAAGAACUCACCCUGACCACAUUUGGUACGCUAUUUGUGUCGCUUGCUUUAUUUGCUCAAUUUUAUAGCUCUUGCUCACCAACGCUUGCUUAGUUUCUCAAGUUUUCUAAGCUUCGUUUUGAAGGACACGUUUUCGUUAUUUCCGAAGAGAAGAUGUCUUAAGACAAGAAAGUUGUUGUUGAGACGAAGCUAACCGAAGAGGAGAAGCUCUUCGAACAGAAGAAGGCUGUGAAUCCUUAUAUAGCUGGGUUUCUAGAAUCAAUGGCAAAAUCAAAUAUAGAGAAGAUUACAAAAGAGAUAUUGGAGGGCCUGUCUGGGGAUACUGGUGACAGUGACAGCUAUGAUGCAGAGAGUGGGGGUGAAGAUUCCGAAGAUCGGCCGUGGAGGCCAAGCCAUACAAUUUUCGAAAAGUCGACCAUCAAGCAAAGUCACCUUGAGAGCAUGAGUGGAAGGUACUUUCAGGAUAUAUCUAUUGUGAGGGCUGGCGAAGACAAUACCACUCCUGCGCCUGAGGAGAAUGAAGUUGUGAUCUUCCAAAGUUUCUUUAAAGCUGGGCUUCGGUUCCCACUGAGCAGGUUUGUAGUGGAAGUGUUGAUAACCUUCCAAAUUUUCCUUCACCAACUGACCCCCGAAGCCAUAUUGAGGAUGGGAGUCUUCAUCUGGGCAGUAAGGAGCCAAGGGAUAGAACCGAGCGCAAAAUGCUUCUACAGUAUGCAUGAACUUAUGUAUGAGACGAAGGCUACGGGGAAGGAACAGUAUCACAACAACUUUGGUUGUUAUGGAUUUAUCGCCCGUCCCAACUCAAGCUUCCUAGUACCAACAUUUAGGAAAAGAUGGCCAGGAAAUUGGAUGAAGGAAUGGUUCUAUGUGAAGAACAAUUUGGUAGAGAGAGAGAGGAUGUUAAGGAGGUUAUUAUGCGUCCCAUAUGGUUCCGCUUCGUCCUUCUAAAGCCGAAGGUUGAAAUCGAUGAAGCCGCCGAAGCAUGCUAGAAGGCCUUUGGUACUGUAUGCUUCUUCAUUGUUACAAGAGACCUAAUUCAAGAACAUAUAGCAUUCAGAGUAUGGCCUCUUGUAGAGAAUUGGGAGAUGCCAAAGGAGACUGUCACCGAGUCUAGCGAAGGUGACUUGGUUCGACUAAAAUACACCUUCAGAUAUGGAGAUAAAUUUGAUGAACCAAAUGACGACUGGCUGAAAUGUAUCGAAUCUAUAAGUGAUGAAUUGCUUGGGCCAUAUUCCAAAGUAGAAGAUAAUGCAUUAUCCACAUCCUUCGGGGGCCGAGGAAAAAAGAUAUUGAAUAGAGUUUUUGAUGCCAUUGGUUUUGUUUACCCUGACUACUACUACCCGCUGCGGGGACGGGGAAAGAAGAGGAAAACUGCUGCUUCGGCCAAGACUGCUGCUUCGGCCACUACAGAUGAACCUGCGCCGAAGAGCAAAAAGUUGAAAGUCCUUACCCACCGGCCAUGUUAUAUUGAGCCGGUCGUGGUGCCUGAGUUUGGUGGGGAGACCUCUUCAGCUGCUGAACCAAAGGAGCCCAUUCCUCCUAUGUAGAAGGCUGAAGAACCGGCUACCAUGCCAAAGGCACCCUCAGCUGAGCUAGUUGAGUCAAAGACUGGUAAAGAUAAGGCCGAAGAGCCAAAAAUUGAAGGAACAAAAAUGUUAGAAAUUUUAAGCCCUUCGGCGGAAGUAACAGUGCCGAAGGCACAAAAAAGUCUUGCGGCAACUCUGAAAAGAAGAAGGAUGGCAAAUGUACUAGACGUGCUAGAAACAGUAAAGGCUUUAAGUUCUACUACUUCAAGGAAAAUUGCCGAGGCUUCAAAAAUGCAAACCAAAGCUGAAACAAAGCCGGCCGAAAUUGAAGCUGUAGUAAGCCAAGCUAGUGCCGAAGCUGGGCCUUCAGAGCCUGCCGAGAAAAAACCUUCGGAAAUUGAAGAAAAAGCAACAGAAGAAAAAGCCUCAGAGCAAACUUCGCCUGAAAAGGUUGUUACUCCUGCUCCCGAAGCUUUGGAAGAGAGCAUUGAUUACAUCAUUCACCAUGCUUCGAGAAAGAUGCUUUCUUUAGAAGAAAAACGAGAAGCUCAACAUUAUGCCCAAAAACUGAAAUACCCCAAGGGGGCAUUGGUGUUUAAUGGCAGCGGAGAAGAAGAUUUUCUGUACUGUCUCCCGGAUAACAAAGAGAUAUCUGUCAACUAGGAGAUAGGAAGAAGCUUCGGAUUUUCGAAGCUAGAAGACGGCCUCUCCGUAUUGUCAAAGGAUGAAUUGGCUGACAGUUUAGCAUAUAAUAGUAUAAAGGUAUGAAAAUCAAUUUUUGUAUUUGAAAACAAAUUAUUUCAUUUGUUUAUAUUUAAUACUGCAAUCCUCUUGCAGGGCUUGAUCCUUAGCAAUGCCCUCAGAGCACAUAAAAAUAUCGAAGAUGAAGGGUGUACAAUAGCUCUGAACAACCUUCGCUUAGAGGUGAUUGAACUAAGGAACGAAGGCCUUGAAAAGGAUAAAAUAUUAAUUUCAUUGGUAAACUAAAUAAAAGAAGAUGAAGCUAGUUCCAAAGCUCCAGCUGAGGCCCAGAAGAGUGAAAUUGAAGAUCUUCGGAGACAAUUAGCUGAGGCCAAAGUAAAAUGCGCUAUUGCCGAAGCUGAUCGAGAUGCUAGCGAAUACUGGAAAAUUAUUUUGAAAAGAUAGUUGCAGAGCUUCGCGCAUCGAAGGAAAGAUGUUUUGAAAAAUCUGUGGGGUGCGUGAAAAAGAUGAAGACUAGCUUCGCCAACGUGGGCGCCUAAUCAAACGAAGACAACUUCAUACAAGGCGACCCUGAGGGCGUUAUCGAGUGGAUCAGUGGUGAAGCUGAAGCUUUUGAGAAGAUUUUGAGUGACCACGGGAUGUCUGCGCAUUCUCUGGUGCGAGGGGAGUUGCAGCUGUUUUGGAGAAGGCAGGUUGCGACCAUGUUAAAUCCUUGGCCCAAGCUGAAGCUGCUUUAUCCGUGGAUGCCACGAAGGACCCCUCGGCCGAAGCAAGUUUAUUGGGCGGCAAAUUUUUCACUGAUAUUUGGGACAAUGGCGGCUAAGAGAUGGCUUAUGAAAUAAUGAAGAAGAGCAAAAAAGAUAUCCACGACUCUCGAGAAGUAGCGAAGAAAGCUGAGAAAGCUGCAGAACUCGAGAGACGGAUAGGUAUUGUUUAAUGGCUUAUAGCUUUGUCGUUUGUUUUCGAGGCUUCAAACUGAUUGAUUUUUUCUAUCGCAGCUGAGCUACCUCCUCCAUCGGAGCCGUUCGACCCCCUAGCCGACCCGGAGACAAAGAAAGCGAUAGAAAUCAUUAAUAUGGCCGAAGCUAUUGUCGACGAAGUUGUUACCAAACUUCUUAACGAAGCUGCAGAAAAAGUUCUGAAGGAAGAAGAGUAGUUAUGUAAAAACAUUUCUAGGAUAUUAAUGUAACAUUUGCUGAACUAAGUUUGUAAUAUUUGGUGUUUAUAAAUUUGAAUGUAAUAUGUGAAUUGUUUGUAAUUCAGUUCUUUGCGAUGCAUGAAACUUUAUGUACAUACCGUUUUUGAGCCUUCUGCAAAAAAAACACCUUCCCUUCUUUUCAUGCUUCGUAAAGAAGAGUUUUUAUGCCUCAUAAGAACAUCCACACUUUGUAAAAACAUCAAUGCUUUGUAAACAAUAGAUCCCUUCUUCCACAUCAGAACUGAUGAAGCUGUAAUUCUCAGCUUACUUUGUGCCUUGGCAUUUUUUCAUUUUUUGUAAAGCAUUCUUCGAAGAUCGGCUUCGUUUCCAAUUGAUGUCAUUGAUGUGAUAUGAUGUAUGAUGUGAUGCUAUGAGAUAUGAUGCGAUGAUAUGAUGCAAAGAAUGAUGCUAAUGCUGAAGACACAUACCCACGCUGAAACACAAUCUCUGCGUCCCCUUACGAACUAUCAAAAUCUCUUUGCCGUUUAUUUUUCGGCUUCACCACUUAUUUUCGGUGUAAGUUCGGCAUCCCCUUAGGAACGUCUUUUGAACUUCUUCGCCUUCUAUUUCGGUGGUAUUCGCGUUGACUUUUCAUGCUUCACCUUAUAUUUCGGCGGUAUUUGGCUCUGCAUUCCCUUUGGAACGACUUUUGAGCAGAAAACUUACACUGCGCUCCCUUGGGAACGACUUUUUGUAGCUUCGGCAAACUUACGCUGCGCUCCUUAGGAACGACUUUUUGUAGCUUCGGUAAAACUUGCAAUGCGAUUUUUAGCUGUGCAUUCCAUUAGGAACGACUUUUGAGCUUCAUCAGUUUUUGAGCUUCGUGAGUGUUGGGACCAUGCUUCGUCGCCGAAGGUCCUGCAGGAAGAAACAACUUCAGCAAAAGCUGCUUAUACGUGAUGCCGAAGCUACCACUCAUGAAGCUUCGGUGUUAUAGCGUAUCCGAAGAUGAAGGAUCGAACCGACUUAAAGAUGGAAUGACCUUUUAGUCCAUAAGGGUCUAAGUCAUUGUUGUAAACUUUUAUAAGAGGUAUGAUUGUAAUUCCUUACAGGCUAUGUCCUGUGCCUAUAAAUAGUGAAUAGUAUUCCUUUACUGUUCACGCAAUCCUGUAAUUGCAAACGCAUUGCUCGGGAAUUAUUAUUUUCUGCCAAGGCGAAGGUAUAAAUGUACAUAAACAUUAUGUUUUGAUAUUUAAGUUCAUAUAAUAAAAUAUGCGAAUAAAGUUAUCUAUUUUUGGUACAUCUUUCUCUAAUGUUUCAUGUUUUAUAUUUUAUUUCAUAUUAUUUUGUAAGUCUGAUCACGAAGGUGUGACCUUCGUGAUAUUCUACUCAUGGUCUUCGUCCAAAGUUCAUUAAAUCCUUGGGGAGAUAAUGCUUCAGCGGAAGGUGUGACCUUCGUGAUAUUCUACUCAUGGUCUUCGUCCGAAGUUCAUUAAAUCCUUGGGGAGAUAAUGCUUCAGCGGACGAAGGGCAUUAAUAUUUAACAUUUUAUGUUGCCUUGUUCUUAAUUCAUAGCAUUUGAGAACAAGUCCCCAACAUUGGCGCCCACCUCCGGUGAACUCGCUUCCACUUUUCGAGCUGAUGGCUUCGUUCAAGAACCAAGCUGGAACUGCUUCGGCUCCGAAGCUGAUUCUCCCGAUAACAGGCGGUUCAUGCUCAGAGCCGGCCAACAAGAAACAGAAGAAGGACGCACAGAGAAGAGUGCAACACGUAGGGGUACAAGGACCCUUCAUCAAGUCAAGAUGGUCUCACAUCCCAAUUACCUUCUCUCAAGAGGAUCUUCAGCUCAAGGAUUACCCGCACAAUGAUGCUAUGGUUAUCUCUUGUGUGAUCAAAGGAUUUCUGGUCCACAAUGUUUUGGUUGAUACAGGCAGUGCGGCUGAUAUCAUAUUUGCCAAAGCCUUCAGACAGAUGGAAGAGCCCGAAGACAAGAUCCAUGAUGCCACACAUCCCCUUUGUGGCUUCGGAGGAAGGCAGAUUGUAGCACUUGGCAAAAUCACAAUGCCAGUAACCUUCGGAUUUAUUAACAACACAAGGACUGAACAAGUUGUGUUUGAUAUUGUUGACAUGGAAUACCCUUACAAUGCAAUCAUUGGUCGUGGUACUCUCAAUGCCUUCGAAGCAAUUCUCCAUCCAGCAUAUCUUUGCAUGAAGAUACCUUCGGACCAAGGGCCCAUUGCUAUUCAUGGAAGUCAGGAAGCUGCCAGAAGGGCCGAAGGAAACUGGACAGACUCAAAAGCAAUCCAUAACAUAGAUGAUGCUGAAGCUUGUGAACAAGACAUGUUCAGAAGGGAGAAAGCUGCUUCGGCCGAUUAGCCGAAGCCCAUGGUCUUAUGUGAUGACAUAGCAGAACAGAAGGUGCUAUUGGGAUCCCAACUGUCCGAAGAACAGGAGAAAACCUUGAUAAGGUUUCUGUUUAACAACAAAGAUGUUUUUGCAUGGUCAGCUAAUGAUGUUUGCGGAGUCAACAGGGAUGUUAUUGAACACUCGCUCAAUGUUGAUCCAUCCUUCAGACCCAGAAAGCAGAGGCUUCAGAAGAUGUCUGAUGAUAAGGCCGAAGGUGCUCGGAAUGAAGUGAAAAGACUCCUCAGUGCCGGAGUUAUCAGAGAAGUAAAAUACCCAGAAUGGCUGGCUAACACUGUUAUGGUAAAAAAGGCCAAUGGUAAAUGGAGGAUGUGUAUUGAUUUUACUGAUCUCAACAAGGCCUGUCUGAAGGACGAGUUUUCAUUGCCAAGGAUAGAUUCCCUAGUUGAUGCAGCAGCUUCAUCAGAGCUUAUGAGUCUGUUGGAUUGUUAUUCAGGCUAUCAUCAAAUUUGGAUGAAGAAGGAGGAUGAGCCAAAAACCAGCUUCAUAACCCCUAGUGGAACAUAUUGUUACCUUCGGAUGCCUGAGGGGCUCAAGAAUGCUGGAGGAAGCUUUAGCAGAAUGACAGCGAAGGUUCUUCAUUCUCAGAUAGGCAGAAAUGUGCUAACUUAUGUUGAUGAUAUCAUUGUAAAGAGCACAAAGCAAGAAAAUCACCUUGCUGAUCUGCAGGAGACCUUCGCUAAUUUUAGACAGGCCGGUUUAAAGUUGAAUCCAGAAAAAUGUGUCUUCGAAGUGAAGAAAGGGAAAUUUCUUGGCUGCCUAGUUUCAACAAAAGGGAUUGAGGCUAAUCCAAAUAAAAUCGAAGCUAUCCUUCGAAUGGAACUACCAAGUACAAAGAAGGGGGCUCAAAGAUUGACAGGAAGACUGGCAUCUCUCAACAGAUUCAUAUCUAGAUCAGCAGAGAGAAAUUUACCAUUCUUCGAAGUGCUGAAGUCAGCCGAAGUUUUUCAAUGGGGACCAGUCCAGCAGAGAGCCUUCGAAGAGUUGAAGCAAUAUUUGAUAGACCUAACAACAUUAACUCCACCAACGCCAGAGGCUCCUCUGUUGUUAUAUGUGGCAGCUUCGCACUCAGCGGUAAGUGCAGCACUUGUCCAAGAGAAGCUUGAAGGCCAAGUCAAAAAGCAAGCCCCAAUAUACUUUGUAUCCGAAGUUCUUAGUUUAUCAAAGAAAAAUUAUACAUAAUUGGAGAAGGUGUUGUAUGCUGUUUUGAUGGCCUCCAGGAAGCUUCGGCACUAUUUUCAAGCAUACAAUAUAAUUGUCCCUUCUUCACAACCAUUGAAGGAUAUUAUGAGAAAUAGAGAAGCUACCGGAAGGGUUGGAAAAUGGGCUGCGGAACUCAAUGAAUUUUGCAUUGAUUAUGUGCAUAGAUCUUCGAUUCAGUCCCAAGCAUUGGCAGACUUCAUUGCUGACUGGACGCCAGGGGCUCAGGAAGAAGAAACGAGUAAAGAUGCCAAAGUUUGGACAGUAUUUUGCGAUGGUUCUUAGGGAACCUUCGGAGCAGGAGCAGCUGCUGUGUUGGUCGCACCUUCCAAAGUUAAAACUUGUUAUUCAACAAGACUUGAUUUCAGGUGCACAAAUAACAUUGCUGAGUACGAAGCUUUGCUCUUGGGUCUUCGGAAAUUAAAGGCAAUGGGAAUUAGAAGGGCGGUUCUUAAAACUGAUUCCCAGGUUAUUUCUGGUCAUAUUGACAAAAGUUAUAAAGCAAGAGAUCCGAAGCUUGAAAAAUAUUUAGACACGGUCCGAAGGAUUGAGGCUUCCUUUGAAGGGUUUUCUGUUAAAAAUAUUCCUCGAGGAGAAAAUGAACAUGCUGAUUUAUUAGCCAAGUCAGCAGCACAGGGGCUGCCCUUACCUUCGGACGUAUUUUUCGAAACAAUAAAAGCACCUUCGGUCGAACUUCUUGAAAGAGCAGUCCUCAACAUAUCUCCUGUCUAUAAUGAAGACUGGAGAACUGAGAUCAUCUCUUUCCUUCAGGGUAACUUUCUUUCAGAUGACGAAGCUUAUAACAGGAGGAUAGAGGCAAGAGCUCGACCAUAUGUUAUAAUAGAAGGUGAGCUGUACAAGCAUGGAGUCUGUGCUCCAUUACUCAAGUGUUUAUCCAGAGCCGAAGGUAUAGAACUGAUGAAGGAAAUACACGCAGGCCUGUGUGGAUCUCACAUUGGAUCUAGGCCUUUGCUUGGAAAAGUUUUUCAUCAAGGAUUUUAUUGGCCAAAGGCAACUUCGGAUGCAGAGGAAUUAGUCCAAAAGUGCGAAGGUUGUCAGAAAUGUGCAAGAGAUAAAAAACAACCUUCGUCUCUAACCCAGUUAAUACAACCCACUUGGCCGUUGGAAAGGUGGGGCCUUGAUUUGUUAGAUCCGUUACCGCCAACACAAGGGAACUUAAGAUAUGUUGUAGUGGCAGUGGAAUAUUUUUCUAAAUGGAUUGAGGCAAAGCCUUUAGCCACAAUAACUUCGGUCACUAUUCAAAAGUUUUUCUGGCAAAAUAUUGUUUGUCGUUUUGGAGUGCCGAAGGCUAUUACUGUGGAUAAUGGAACGCAGUUUGAUUCCGAAGCUUUCAGAGAAUUUUGUGAACAAAUUGGCAUGAAGAUCCAUUUUGCAUCAGUUCGGCAUCCGGAGUCAAAUGGACUUGUUGAAAGGGCUAAUGGCAUCAUAAUGACAGGAAUAAUGAAGUUAAUCUUCAAUCAGCCUAGGGGAAAGUGGCCAGACGAAUUAAUCAAAGUGGUGUGGAGCCACAACACAACAAUAUCAAGAUCAACAGGUUUUACACCAUUCAAACUAUUGUGUGGUGACGAAGCAAUAACUCCGGAAGAAGCCAAAGCAGGAUCAAUAAGAAUAGUAGCUUCGACAGAAGACGAAGCUGAAGCUGAUUACUCUGUGGAAAAAGAUGCUAUAGAGGGGAUCAGGCUUCAAGCUGUGGAAAACAUCAACAAAUACCAAGCUGAAACAAUAAAAUGGCGUGAUAGAAAGGUUCGACUAAAGAACAUUGAACCAGGACAUUUGGUGCUUCGAAGAGUAGCCAACCCAGAGACAGUAGGCAAGUUACAGCUGAAGUGGGAAGGACCUUUUCUGGUAGUAUCUUCGUCAAGACCCGGUUCCUACAGAUUGAAGGAUAUGGACGGCAACGACAAUCCUAGAUCAUGGAAUGCGGACGAGCUUCGGCGAUAUUAUGUUUAGCUUGAUGUAAUUUUUUCUAUUCUUUCUUGUGGUACCCUUUUCCUUUCCAAAGGGGGAGAAAGGUUUUUGAUGGGGCCAUAAUAUGUAAUUUUUCUUUUCCUUAUUUCAAUUCUAUAAGAGCGAUAUCCCCCAAAGAUGUAAAUGUAAAAGCUGAGAACGCACCAUCGAGUGCAAAGGAAAAAGAAAAGAAAACAGGGAGAAGCUCAAAAGUCGUUCCUAAGGGAAUGCAGAGCUUGCAGCGAAAAAUAAACGCUGAUUCCGCCGAAAGUAAAAGGCGAAGAAGCUCCUAAGGGAGGCUUGCAGCGAAAAAUAAACGCUGAUUCCGCUGAAAGUAAAAGGCGAAGAAGCUCCUAAGGGAGGCUUACAGCGAAAAGUCAGCGCUGAUACACCGAAAAGUAAACGGUGAAGCUGAAAAAUAAACGACAAAAAGAUUUGAGUCAUUCUCAAGGGAAUGAAGGCUAUGAUUAUGGUUUCGAAUAUACAUUCGGAUAUUCAUUUGCACGAUACAUUACAUCAUGACAUUUGCAUUCAUAAACAUUCAUUUAGACAUAUAUAGGAUCAUUAUCAUCAUAUCAUACAGAAAAGGCAGAUGCUUCGGCUAUGAGGAAAAAACUUCAGAGAAAGAGGGAAUUUUCAUGCUUCAAUGUGUACGAAAAGAAGGGAAGGUGUUUUUCGCCUUCGGCUCAAAAAUAAAAUUUCGUCCACAGCAAAGCAGAUCUUACACAGAUAAAGGGGAAAGAUAUUACAAGGUAUGCACAAAUUUACAUAAGUUUCUCUACAAUUAUAUUACAAAGAUUUCUCUAGAAUGUUUUGCAGAAAAGUCUUUUGCAGCAACUGUUAAGCUUCAGCUCGUCAUUCUUCAGCUUCAUCAUCCUGUACAUAUUAAAACGGAAUGAGAAAGGUGCAGAAUUCAAGGAGAAGGUAAAAGUAACAAGUAUAAGUUUCUCACUGGCUUAAGGUGGCUCCGAGCUUCGUCACCAGCCAUUUUUCGCCCGCCGUUUAUCCAAAUCUGGGUCAUAAACCUGUUUCCUAUGCUUCGGGCUAGGCUUGGGAUGUCAACCAAAUCUGCCGGUGACAAACUGAAGUUUGGCCUAUUUACAAUUUUCCCGUGCGUGCAGCCAGCCUUCAGGAAAGCGGUAGCCGUGCCUCGAGAAGCUAGCAGGGCGCAGAAAUCAGCAUGCCCAGCAAUAACUUCGUCAAGUGCAUCAACUUCGGCCUUAAUGUAUUCCAAGGUGCUUGGCAGGUUUUCAGCUGAAGGUGUAAACUUAUCAGAGCUGGCUCCAAUUGAGUGAAACACAUCCUUCAGCCGCUGCACACAUCGGCUGCCGAAAUCUAAGCAUUUCUCCUGAAGCUCCUUCAAUGAUUUUUGCAAAUUUGAAUUCUUCUCGAUUUCGGUCUUGAGACUUGUUUCGAGAUUCUUCUUUUCCUGCUCAGAUUUUUUUGAUUUUAUAAGUAAAUCAUUGUUUAAUUUGUCAUUUUCGGCUUGGGCUUCAGCCAGUGAACCUUCCAUAGAAUGAAUGACGAAGUCUUUCUUUUCCAAGGCAGCUUCGUGAUCUUUAACUUUGAUUUCAAGGUCUUGAAUAACGAAGUCCUUUUUCUUCAGAGCAGCUUCGUAAUUUUCGAUUUUGUUCUCUAGAUCUUUGAUGGUAGCUUUGUUUUUCUCCUCUUCAAGAUCUUGUUGCAUUCUCAGCACUUUACUUAGUAGUAUACUCUGCCAAAACAACCUUCGUUAGAAAACAUAUUAAUUCAAAAAACAAUAUAAAGUUGAGUUUUUACCUUGAAAUUAGCAUAGAGCAAGCUACCGGCAAUAUGCUGUCGCUGGUACCUGCAGAGGUCCGCUUCUAUCUUCGGCAGGCCAACGCUUUUUGAGAAAGUCCUAACAACCUUGGCCUCGGUUCGAUUCCGAAGGCAUCUUAGUUUCCCUUCAUUGACACCACCAAAUAGCAGAGACCCUGGUUUGUAUCCGCAGGAUAUAGCAUAUUUCUUUAGCUCUUCUUUUUUAGUGUCUGUUAACUCUUGUCCAAGUAUAUCUUGAAAAUUAAAAUUUUCUUCUUCCAAAGUGUCUUCAAUUUGCUCUUUUCCUUUUUCAAUUGUCGUGUUCACCGCAACCGCAACAGCUUCUUCUUCAGCCAUUCUCAGAAGUAUAUUGUCAAUAUCACCAAGUGUGGUCUCUAGAUUAGGAUCUUCGGUGGUCUCGGUUUCGGCUCCGGUGGCUUCGGCUUCAGUGGUUGCACCGAUAGCUUCGGCUCCGGUGGUUUCAGCUCUAGUGGUUUCAGCUCCGGUGACUGUGGUUUCGGCAGUGACAAUUUUUGACGUCGAUGUCGGUGGCGGUGUCUGAUGAAUGACAUCGGCCACUUGGAUAAUUCUUCGUUUUUUCGGCUUUGCGGGACUUUCUGUUGCCGAAGCUUCUUUCUCCUUCUGAAAAAACUUCGUCAGUUCUGGCGCCAGCGGACUUAGCCUGAUAGGCAAAGGUUCAGUCAUUACCUUCGGAAUCUCUUCCACUUCGGCAGCAGAAGGUGUUGCAGAAGCUUCCUCCUCUCGGGCCGACGUCUUUGGUUUUGGGGAUGCAACUUUUCUUUUCUUCGGAGCAGCUAUCUUCGGCUCAGGGCUCAGUUUUUCAGAAAUUUCCUUGUCCUUUUUACCUAAUUUGGUGCCUUCUUUGUCAAGGGCGCUCGCAAUCCUCUUUCUUUUCUGGCCUUCGGCACCUCCGACCAAUUGCUCAUAGUCAGGGUAAUCAAAAUUCAAGGCAUCUAGCACACGAUUCAAUCUUUGUUUCGGACGUGUGCCGAAGGCUGCAGUCAUUAAUUGAUCUUCUUUCUUAGAGUAAUUGCCGACGAUCUCGUUGCACAUAAUUUCAAUUGUGUUCAGCCACUCUUGGCAGGGUGCUUUAAAAUGUUUCUUAAACUUGUAGUGAUAAGGCAAUCGAACAAGUUCUUCCUUUUUCUUUUCUCCCAUUAGCUUCGGCAUUUCCCACUCCCUCAGUCUUGGGAACACCCUAAAAGCCAAAAAUUCCUGCACUAGGUCUCUAGUGCCAAUAUGAUCUGAAAUCACUCGAAAUUCAGCCAAAGCAGUCUGACUCGGGCUCCCCAUUAUCAUGUUGCAUCGGGGCCUCGUUUCUCCGAAGGUUAGUUCUAGCGGACUCUGGACCAAUUUAUCUUCAUCUUCAUCAACUUUAACAUAAAACCAUUCAGAUUUCCAUCCGGCUGGCCAUUUGCUUCGGUAGCUUAUCACUGGAAACUUCAUAGUCUUGCGAUAAGCAAAGUUGUAGCAUCCAAAAUUUUCGUGCAGACCAUCUCCUCUGGCUUUAGUCUGGCAGUGUAAUUCAUGAACUCGGCAGAAACCCUUACCGAACGGUUCCACCCCCUGGCUACGAAGAGCCCAAAUGUAAACACUUAAUCUAACAAUAGCAUUGGGGUCAGGUGAUGAAGGUAAAUCCCAAACUUCUUCUGUACAAUAGCAAUCAUCUUGUUCAAGGGGAACCUUAGACCGGCUUUAAGAAAACUUUUGAAGACUACUACCUCGUCCUUUCCUGACUUUGGGAUAGUUUCCUCUCCACCAAAACGAAUUAAUUCCUUCUUGGCCUCACUAAAAUAACCCAUCUUCACCAUUUUAGGAAGAUCAGCUUCAGAAAUGGUGGACUUUCCAAAGUCCAAAUGACUAGGUUUACUUGGCACCCCGCAGCUGUACUCAUCUUCGAAACCAACUUCUUCAACAUCAGCUCGUGUUGCUUCGACAGCAGGUGUGUCCUCUGAUGAAACCAGCCCAGAACGCCUCAUUGCUUCGGAAAUCGGAACAGUUUCAGUGGCUUCGGUCUCAUCUCCAUCACGCUCAACCCUAGUAGUGGAGCGUACUCUGGCCAUUUGAUUUUAAAUUUCUUGAAAAUUCCUUGGAAAUUAAUAACCUUUUUUCCGAAGCUCUUCUCGUGACGAAGCAGAAUCCAAACUGGAGCUUCGUUUGAAUGCAAAAGUCAAGCUUCGGCUAUGGUUAAAUUUUUGGCAGCAAAACUGUGCAAUAGCAAUGAAUGCUCUGGUAACUUCACACCUACCUGUCUGUUUAUAUAGUGCUGCAGGUAAGAAGGUGAAUUGUCAAGAUUUUUACACCGGACAAACAGUCGCUCGCACACACUAAACGGUGGGCCGCAAAAACCGAGAAAGUGAACCUGCAUGGUGGGACCGCUCCGUGCUCGGAAACUGUAUCGUUUCUCGGCAACGAGCUUAGGGAAGGUGUUUUUCAGACCUUCGGCUUCCCGAAGCCUAAGAGACUUUUUUCAUGGAUCAAGCUCAUUACGAAAAACGAUCUAGCACCGCGAAGGGGCUACUAUUGGGACCAUGCUUCGUCACCGAAGGUCCUGCAGGAAGAAACAGCUUCGGCAAAAGCUGCUUAUACGUGAUGCUGAAGCUACCACUCAUGAAGCUUCGAUGUUAUAGCGUAUCCAAAGAUGAAGGAUCGAACCGACUUAAAGAUGGAAUGACCUUUUAGUCCAUAAGGGUCUGAGUCAUUGUUGUAAACUUUUAUAAGGGGUAUGAUUGUAAUUCCUUACAGGCUAUGUCCUGUGCCUAUAAAUAGUGAACAGUAUUCCUUUACUAUUCACACAAUCCUGUAAUUGCAAACGCAUUGCUCGGGAAUUAUUAUUUUCUGCCAAGGCGAAGGUAUAAAUGUACCCAAACAUUAUGUUUUGAUAUUUAAGUUCAUAUAAUAAAAUAUGCGAAUAAAGUUAUCUAUUUUUGGUACAUCUUUCUCUAAUGUUUCAUGUUUUAUAUUUUAUUUCAUAUUAUUUUGUAAGUCUGAUCACGAAGGUGUGACCUUCGUGAUAUUCUACUCAUGGUCUUCGUCCAAAGUUCAUUAAAUCCUUGGGGAGAUAAUGCUUCAGCGGACGAAGGGCAUUAAUAUUUAACAUUUUAUGUUGCCUUGUUCUUAAUUCAUAGCAUUUGAGAACAAGUCCCCAACUGUGAGUCUGUGGGAAAGAUAUAUUUCAUUAUGACAAGAACAAAGCUAUUACAAGAAAUUAAAAAUGACAAGAAGACAAGAUUUACAUUGAUUGUUCCUUAUUAAAAAGAAAAUGACAAUGAAUGUAAAAAUGCUUCAGAGGUAGGAUAUCUCUCAAUAGAUGUGUUUUGAUUCUGGCACAGUACUGUUGACUGUGCGAGCUUCGGAUUCCUCCCUGAAAUCUCUCUGUUGAUGGGUCUGCUAGCUCCCUUCUGGCUGCUGACCUCGUGAAUAGGCAGGUAGUAGUGGUGGCGGAGGUGGAAGCUGUGGCCAAGAAGCCUGUGGCUGACUAGCUGAAGCAACAGAAGCUGUAGGAUGAUUACCCACAUAUUCUGGUAUGUAGGGUGAGUGACACGAAGCAGUGUGCAGGACCUGCUUCGGUUGACUUGGCCGGGCUUCGGCUUCUGCGAUCUCCUUCUGCUUUUGGAUGGUAAUUUGGCACAUUCUUGUAGUGUGCCCCUUGUCUUCACCACAAAAUAGGUAGUAGAUCUUCCUAGGCUGGUCCCCAUAUCUUCCUCCAAAGCCCCUGGCGCCUCUGCCUCUUGGAGCUGGUGGCCGGAAAGAGCUUUGUUGCUGCCCUGAAGAUUGUGAUGUACUGCGGCCUCUGCAGCUGACUUCCUCUAUCAUCACUCUGAGUGGAGUUGUGAAUUGACCUGACAUGCCUCGGGUGGAUUCUUCCUCCGAAGCCCCUGGUCAUCUCAGAGAACCUGUAAGCCUCCUCCCUUCUUUGGCGGAAGUCAUUGUCAGCCCAGAUGUACUCAUCCAUCUUUUGAAGCAGCUUCUCUAGAGUCUGUGGAGGCUUUCGCAAUACUGGGCAGUAGGUCCUGGACGAAGCCCCUUGAUCAUGGCCUCAAUGAUAAUUUCAUUGGGCACUAUAGGCGCUUGUGCUCUCAGACGCAAGAACCUUCGGACAUAUGCCUGAAGAUACUCCUCAUGGUCUUGCAUGCAUUGAAACAGAGCCCGAGCUAUGACCGGCUUCGUCUGAAAGCCUUGGAAACUUGUCAGUAGCAUAUCCUUGAGCUUCUGCCACGAAGUAAGUCCCUGGCCGAAGAGAAGAAUACCAUGUUUGGGCCACAUUCCUAACUGCCAUGACGAAGGACUUGGCCAUGACAGCUGCAUUGCCUCCAUAUGAAGAUAUAGUUGCUUCAUAACUCAGCAAAAACUGCUUUGGAUCCAAAUGCCCAUCAUACAUAGGGAGCUGAGGUGGCUUGUAUGAUGGAGGCCAUGGGAUAGCCUGCAGUUCUGCUGCCAAGGGAGAAGCAUUAUCAAAGGUAAAGGUAUCAUGAUUGGAAUCAUCACACCAUCCAUCCUCGUUGAAUAAGCCUUCUUGAUGAAGCUCCCUGUGUUGGGGCCUUCGAUCUUGUUCAUCUUGAGCAAGAUGGCGUACUUCUUCAGUGGCUUCGUCGAUCUGCCUUUGAAUAUCAGCUAGCCGGGCCAUCUUCUCCUUCUUCUUUUGUACUUGCUAAUGGAUUAUCUCCAUGUUUCUGAUUUCUUGGUCCAACUCCUCCUCCUGGAGUGUUGGACUAGUGGCCUUCCUCUUCUGGCUUUGGGCCUCUCGGAGAGAAAGGGUCUCCUGAUUUGGGUCCAGUGGCUGUAGUGCGGCAGCCCCUGGUGCUGAAGCUUUCUUCAGUGGCAUGGCGAAGGUCAAUGCUUGCCGAAGGUGGUCAAAAAAAGGGUUCACCAGAGGUGGGCGCCAAUGUUGGGGUCUUGUUCUCAAAUGCUAUGAAUUAAGAACAAGGCAACACAAGAUGUUAAAUGUUAAUGCCCUUCGUCCAUUGAAGCAUUAUAUCCCUUAGGAUAUAAUGAUCUUCAGACGAAGGUCAUGAAGUAUAUACCUUCAUCAUUGCAGUAUAUGUUAAAUAAAAUAACAAACAUAUGUCAUAUGGGAAACAACAUAAACAAUUAUAUCAUAUUAUUCAUUCUCUAUUAUAUAAACAUGGAUAGACAAAAACAAUAUUGAAUUACAAAAGUACCUUCGGUUUGAUAGAAGGCAAGAAAAUACAAGUGUGACGCAAAAGCGAAUACAAGUCAGCAUGAACAAUACGGGAGUAUUGUUCAUCUAUUUAUAGGCACAGGACGCAGCCUGUGUGAAAUUACAUUCAUGUCCUUCAUAUUCACUAUUGACUUAAGAACAAACUAUUGAGGACUAGAUAGCCUUUUCCUCCUUAAGUCGGUUCCUCUUUCUAUUACUGAGCCAAAGCUUUCUCGCGCGCACCUUCGGCAUUGGUUCAAUCCUUCGUUCCAAUCCUGCUUUCCAUUCCGUAUAUGCUUUUAACCCAAGGCCGAAGGUACCUGUUCAUAUGUUACACUUGGAAAACAUUGUUAAAUCGUGUUUUUGAGGACCUUCGGAGGAUGAAGGCCCCCAACACUAGCCAAUUUAUAAUAUAGUUUAAUAUUUAAAUCUCAUAGAUCUUCCAUAAAUCAUAACUCCUCGACAGUAACUCCGAUUUUUGUAGUUCUCGAACCCACAAUCUCGUAGCAACGCGUAGAUCAUUGUUAUACAGUUUGUUCUUAGUUUGGUGUGAUGUUAAUUUUGUUUAUACCAUGUUUGUUUGUAUUGCUACGACUAGCGCGAGGUCACGAGUCAUCUGAAGAAUCAUCCUGGUACCUAGAAUCUCAAGUUCCAAGCAAGUUGUGCCCUUGAUCACUUUCUUUUAACCCAGUCAUGUUCUUAUUAAUCAUAAUGAUCUACAUAGGUUAAUUUUGCUAGGACCCAAUAGGUUACCCUAGAUUUUGACUAUCUUUAUACCUUGUUUCACCACUGGUUUUACUACUAAAUUUUUGGUUAGUACAUGCUAUUGCUUUAUGUGGCUCUGGGUAUAGAGAUAUUCAUCACUCAUUGUUAUACUUUUUAUUAUCCGUUUAUUAUUUACUGUUCAUGAUAAGGUCACUAUGUUAAUGGGAACAUGGAGAACCACCCGGGAAAACAGUGCUACCACAAGGGUUUAAUGGGACGCCCUUGGCUGAUUAACUAGGAAAGCUAGUGGAUGACUACCUUACCCGAAAGAGGCAAGGGCAGUAGGGGAGUGGUCAGUGUAGGGAGGUCCUUGGGUUGAUUUUGCUGCGAUGGCGAUCAGGCGAGGGAUUCCUGCACUGGAGCUUCCUAUAAACUAUAGCGGGUUUUCUGAAGCUAGUGGAACUUUGUAAAGGCCUCAUAGUGGUACCCUGCCUCGCUUCCUUGGUAGAGGUGUAUGGGGUCUUAUCAACUCCGUGGCAAAUGGGUAACACGACUUGUGGGUAAAGAUGCGCAACCUCUGCAGAGUGUAAAACUGGUAUACUAGCCGUGCUCACGGUUAUGAGCGGCUCGGACCCUCACAUGAUUAAUCUAUGGAAUUAAAACUCAAUUUGUCAUUUGCAUCGCAUUGAGAUUACUUUAUUAUUACUUUUACUUAUUAUUACUAAGGUUUGGUAUUACUUAUACUUAGUAAUUGCUAAUAAAAUUUUGACCAACUUAUAAAAGCAAUGCUCAGCUUCAACCUUAUUUUGUUGAUCAACCUUACACUUCACAUGAACUCCCACCUUUGGUGAGUUCAUGCCACAUUAUUCCCCACAACUUGUUGAGCGAUGAACAUGUGUGAGCUCACCCUUGCUGUCACACCCCCCCCCACAUGAGAAGAUUAGGUGGUUCAAGUGGAGUCACACAUCGAGGAGUUCAAUUCGAUCUAGGUGGCGUCUCCUAGUUGACUUUUUGGCGCCAAGGAUGGAUUUUAGAUCCUGUUAUAUUUAUCUUUUAUUUUGUAAGACUUCCACUCUGUAAUAAAUACUCUGAUUAUAUUGUGACAUUUAUCUCUAUACACUCUGUUAUUAUAUAUGUUGUCUUCUUUGGCGCAUGUAUGAGAUGCACCCGACUUUGUCCCUUAAAAUCCGGUGUGACAGAAAAUGGAUUUCCUCCAACCAGAACGCGCAUUUGCUGAAUUUGGCAUACAACUGAUGUUCCCUUAAGCGCGUUAGCACGAUCCACAAGUGCUUUGCAUGCUCCUCUUCAUUUUUGGAAUAGAUCAGAAUGUCGUCAAUGAAGAACGCCACAAACUUGUCUAACUCAGGCAUGAAUACCGAAUUCAUUAAGUAUGUGAAGUGGGUUGGAGCAUUUGUUAAUUCGAAAGACAUGACCAAUUAUUCAAAUAACCCAUACCGCGUGGUGAAUGCGGUCUUGGGUAUAUCCUCGGGUCGAAUACGGAUCUGAUGCUAGCCUGAUCUGAGUUCACUCUUGGAGAAUACCCGGGCUCUAGUAAGUUGAUCGAAUAAAAUAUCAAUCCGAGGAAGAGGAUACUUGUUCUUGAUGGUAACCUCAUUGAGGGGUCUAUAGUCCACGCACAUUCGAAGUGUCUGAUCCAUCUUCUUGACGAAGAUUGCUGGACAUCCCCAUGGUGAUGAACUUGGUCUAAUGAACCCUUUCUCCAACAAGUCUUGUAGUUGAGUCUUGAGUUCUGCCAGUUCAUUAGGUGGCAUACGGUACGACCUUCUGGAAAUAGGAGUCGUACCGAGCUUCAAUUCAAUCACAAAUUCCACAUCCUUUUCUGGAGGUAACCCGGGCAAGUCUUUGGGAAAUACAUCCGAAAAUUCAUAAACAACCGGAAUAUCCUGGAUCUCUUGCAUUAUGGCCUAAAAAACUUGCCUAGAUGUUUUGACUGGAACAACUACAGGGAUGGAUAAUUGGACUUCUUCAUGACCUUAACUUAACUUAAUGGUCCUUUGGUCCGUAUAGAUGAUGGCUUUAUUCUGGGCUAACCAAUUCAUUCCUAGAAUCACAUCUAUAUCUUGUCCCUUUAUAACAAUCAUGUUUGUAGGGAAUUCCCAUCCGGCCAAUGUUACGGGUAUGUGGAAGGCUAUUUCCUUAGUAAAUAUUCGGCCCCCAGGUGAAUGGAUAACAAAUCCCUCCCUUGAUUCAGUGCAACGUAUGCAAUGUUUCUCCACAAAAGUCUUGCUUAUGAAGGUAUGUGAUGCACUAGAAUCAAAAAGGAUAACUGCUAGGUGGUUGGCAACGAGGAACGUACCCAUCAUCACCGGUUCACCUUCCGGUGUAGUAGCCACCUGGUAUAAUACACUCGUCCAGUUUUCUUCAAAUUUUUGCCCAUUGAAGAUUUGGCCAUGUUCUCCUUUCCUUGAUUUGAGUUCCUAGAAGUCUGCUGAAAGUUGGAUUUGUUCUGCUUCGGAUAUGGGCAGUCCUUGAUGAAAUAUCCGGACUUUCCACAAUUGAAGCAACCAUUGGAGGAACUGGGAAGGGCAGGAAAACGAGCACCAGGGGCACUCGGCUGAUUGGUCUGGGCGGGGGCAGGAGUGGGACAAAUAAAUACGGGUUGUCUAAAUGGAUAUGUAGGUGGGUGAGGAGAAGAACUGUUUGGAUUAAAAGGUCGGAUUACCAACAUUGUCCUCUUUUCAGGUCCCUGAGUUGAUCUUUCACCCGCAUUUCCUUUUGACUUUCCUUGACCUGCAUUUUUGGCUUCAACUGACAAUGUUGUACUGACAGCCCUGCUGUAUGUGAGGUCCAGACACAUUACCAUCUUACGCUGGAGUCUAUAAUUUAGUCCCCUCAUGAAGCAAUUCUUCUUUUUCAAGUCUGUGUCCACUUGAUCAAUGGCGUAUUGGGAGAGGUGAUUGAAUUUAUUGAGAUACUGCAUCACAGAAUCUCCCCCUUGCUUCAGUCGGAUGAACUCUUCUAGUUUCAUUUGUAGCACUCCUUCUGGAACAUAAUGUUUCCUAAAUGCUAGUUUAAACUCUUCCCAAGUGACUUGAUGUCCCACAGGUUGGAUGGCAGAAAAGUUUGCCCACCAAGUGCCGGCGGGGCCUCUUAACUGUUGAGCGGUAAAUAGGGGCUUCUGUAUCUCGGUGCAUCGUAUUAGCCCGAAUUUUUGUUCCAUCACCCGCACCCAUUCAUCAGCUUCUAGGGAUUCCUCUGCCUUGACAAAGAGCGGUGGACGGGUUUCGGAGAACUCCAGAUAGGUGGUGUCGCGUGGUCCUUAUGGUUGACCUCUUCCUCCGUGUUGUUGAAAUAGGUUUCUCGCCAUUUCGCAUAGAAAGCGUGUGUUGUCAGUGGUGGCAUUGACCAAGGCAAUGAUAGCCUCGGCCAUGGUAGGAGGUACAGGUGGCAGAUUGGGAGUGUCCUCCCCGCCCGUGGGAUGUACCUGCCCCGUCAUGAGCACGGGUUCGUGAUGGCAUCUGAGGAAGAAAACAUCCUGAAUUAUUACAUGCCAACACACCAUCUUUAUUACAUUGCGGAACAGUAAUAAUUAUACAUACUCCAUUAUACAACUCGAUUUCCUUACUUAUUUUACAUAAGUACAUUACUCAAACUAUACUAUUCUAAUUUUCUUCAUCCUGAGCUGCUUCACUGCCUGCUUCAGGAGACCAUUCAUCUGCAAGAUUCAUGGAAGGAGGGGCUCCAAAAAGGUCAAUCCCCCAUUAGAUCAUCCAUUUGCUGUUCCAGAUUGUCUAGCUCCCAUUGCUGCCAAUUCAGGUGGCACGUUCGGGUGCAGCCGGUCAUACAACACAUGCACCUCUUCAUGCAAGGUGUUGCAGUAUGGUUGCAGGUUUUCGAGGGAUGCGCUAAGUUCUGCUACUCGAGCUAGAGCUUUGGCUUCACAAUCCCAAGCAAAAGAGCGUGAGUUUACGGCCCAGUCAAUGGUCGUAUCGCGUUCCGUAAUUUCAUACUAUAGGUGAUUAACUUUGGCCAAUAGUUCUGCAAUGCGGCGACUAUCGCACGCACGCUCCCUACACCCGUGGCAUAGUUUAGACCUGAGUCGAUCCACUCUGGCCUCCAAAUCCCCGAUGGGGUCGUUACUUCUAGUGCUGCUUCCUUCAUGCCUAGAGGCCAGCUGAUGUCGAGGCACACCAUGAGGUCCAGUCGAUUUGUGCUGGGUAGUUUUAGUGCACGCCAUAGCUCCAUAAGAGGGGAAAUUCUAUUUAGUAUAGUUUAAACAUGAUGCAUGCAUAACCUAAUAAUUAUGGGAUCAAUCUUUCGUUGAUCCCCUACUUCCUUACAUAUAUUGCACUCUGUUACCCGGUGUUAAAAUGUAACAACCAGAAAGUGGUAAGAUAAGAACGAAAGAAUUUUCAAGGUAAGUAUUUUAAAAUUCUUUUGAAGUACUACGUAAUGUCCGAAGAGACGGGUUUCGCUUCGAUACCAAUUGUCACGGAACCUCCCAAGGUAUUAGGCCCACCUAUAGAUGUCCUUGUCCUAAGGACCUCGGACAACCCUUUAGAUGCACAUAAUCACUCGACAAGUUCGGUCAUCUGUAUCAUCAUUAUCAUACUGCCCAAGAGCGUUUCACCGAUCACGCAAACAUUACACUCAUAAUCAAAGUAAGAAUAAGCGGAAGGAUUACAAUAACAUAAUUUAUGUUCAUAUAUAAAAUGUAGGGAGAGUAUUUAUUACAAUACCGGGUGUUUGAGUGCAUAACAUAUUAUUACAUAUCAGGGAGGUAAAACAUCCUCCCACCAACAAGUCACUAAUUUGCCUCCUCCUUUGGCACCACCUUAAAAAUCCAGUUUUAUUAUCAUGUUAAGUCAUUACCUGUAUCUAGAGUUCUUUCUAUCCUAGUUCAAGCACUUGGACUACACUAGCCAUCUUUUAACAUCCCUUCAGUUCACUGGAUUGCUACAUGUAAGUCAGUGACCAAGCCUGGCAGAAAAAGGAAAAGGAUGAAUAGUACUAGGCUGAAUUCAGCCCGAUCGGCCCAUGUCCAGACAAACGCGCUCGCGCGCACCCGCACUGGCAAUCUUGUGGAGGGGCCCUCGAUCAUUUGAACAAACAGUAAAGAACCCUCGACACUAUUUCUUUGUAUCACUGAUGUUUGCACUUAGACCCCUAAGCUUCUAUUUCUUCACCGGAUAAGUCCCUGGCGACGGCACGCUCACUCGCUGGCCAUCUCCUUGCUGAGACCGGCCAUGAACAGCGACAACUAACUAAACCAAGUGCUGGACUAGCGUACCCGAUCCCAGGCGACCCUAAUUGGUCCCUUAAUUGAGCUAUCCCGACCCGGAGUUCUUCUGUCCACGACGACGGCGAGACCUGAGGGUGAACCAAGGUGUUCCCGACGACUAGGCGUGGUAAUGUACAAAUUCUAAGUACGGGGAGCACCACUAUACCCUAAGGAAGCUAGAACAGAUGGCGGUUGGGUUGGAACUACCUCAGGCGACGCUAGCCACAGAAGAGCUCUCCACGGCGGCGAUGGCGACCGAAUUGGGGGAAAAGCCAAAUUCAGGCGCUGUGUUGGCUAAUCGGAGAUGAGGGUUGGUGCUCUGGCUUUGUAACAACCUAGCGGAGCUAGCUGUGCACUCAAUUUAUAUUAUCCGCGAGCGGUGGCUCCGAAUUUGGAAGAGGAAAGGUGGCGGGCGAAGAGAGGGGGUGAGUCACCGACGCGAGCUACCGUGGUGUUCACUGGGGCAACGUUACAGGCGAUGGACAGACUACCUAUAGUGGUUUACUGCGAUGUGGUAACGCUUCUAAGUAUGUGGUGUCCGAGCGGCAAGCAGCAGAAUCCUGCGAGGCCAUCUUGAUCGGCCACAGGGCAAGUGGGUACGACGGCCAGCUCACGGCCUCAUCCGCGGUCAAGAUCUUUUCACCGCCGACCGUUAUCUGCACCUAGAGCGCACGAAUCACAGCGCCGACGAUGAUCGUGGUGCACGCCCACCGGCGGAGACAAGUUCACUGAAUUUGAUCUUGUUCAGUCACUGUACCAACACGUUCUUCAUCAGACGUUCUGACAAGACGAAUUGGAGAGCUUUGUUCUUAAUUUUCAUGUUACGACUUACUAAUCUAUCUGUAACAAAGUUAAUCUCAUAUAAUCUAGCUUUAAUUUUGUUAAAGCAACCAUGAUAAAAAAUCCACUGGAUCAUACUCAAAAUUGCUAUCAGAGUUUGUCCAAGUUCACUGUCAGUUGAAAAUCAGCUUCAGGGUUGACUGAGAAUCUGUCUUUAAGUCCAUUUAUCUCCAAUUUUUGUACAUCACCAAUGCUUAGUCACUUAAUCAAACUUGUACCCCUAACAUAGCUCUACAAGUUCGAUGUAUUGACCUAGGGCAAAACCUUUAUGGAUUAAGAAAUACAAGGCCCCAAACUUGGCCUAAUUACACUGAAUUUUCAGAGUUAACCAUAUGGGAGCUCUUGGGGCUUUUUCCAAUUAAGUCCAAAUUGUUCCACAUCACGUGAAAAUCCUCUGAUAUCAAAGUUGUUUGGUUUUUGACAUUCUACCACUUUGAUGUAUACACUUUGGUCCAAAAGUGUAUAGAAUUUGAAAUCACCAUAUAGGGCACAAAUUAGGGUUUCUAGGGUUCCAUUUAGGGUUUUGGGUGCUUUAGGGUUUUUAUGCCACUCAAAUCCAUCAAACUUAAUCUCUUGUGAACAUUUCCAAUAACUUUUGAGGUACUACUCAAUUUGACUUCAUAUUUACCCAUAUGCCCUAAUCCCAGGGUUAAGUACUCGGAAUAAGGUUCGAGCGCCAUGCCAAAUGUGUCCGAAAAAGAAGAGCAAAGCAAAGGUAGCAUGACCAAAAGUGAACCAACCCCUUGGACUGCUGCGAAAAACACCAUCUGAUUUCAAAGUAGCUCGAUCUAAUUCAAAAAUUUCCCCUAAUUGAGCACACCGCGCAUAUUUUUUUACAGUAGCAGGAUCAGAAUAACUUACUCCAUUAAGUUCGCCACCAUAGAACUCCACCGUUACGCCUACUUGUUCAACACUAUAUUUGGAUUCUGCUCUUCUAAAAGGAACGUCCGCUCUCACAAUUCCCUCUUCAUCUACCAAAACGACCGGAAAUGUUUCAUAAAAAGUAGGCAUACGACGUACAAAAAGCUCGCGUCCUUCUUUAUCUCUAAAGACGGGAUGUCCUAACCAUCCAACAGCUAUGCCAUCCCCU
Molecule: long non-coding RNA, 79010 nt
Filed under: Zea mays
Lineage: Eukaryota; Viridiplantae; Streptophyta; Magnoliopsida; Poales; Poaceae
Description: long non-coding RNA (ZMAY_LNC000948)
Source: RNAcentral